This 86878-nucleotide long non-coding RNA is filed under the name Capsicum annuum. RNAcentral describes it as "long non-coding RNA (CANN_LNC019967)". The record is from RNAcentral. Lineage: Eukaryota; Viridiplantae; Streptophyta; Magnoliopsida; Solanales; Solanaceae.
CAAAAUAUGUGCUAGUCAUGGUCUAUGAUUAAAUAUCAUAGUCUAUUAAUUAAUUGUGGAAGUAGUUUACAGUCUAUGCUAGACUAUAUCAGGUCGAGUACAUAACUAAGCAUAGUCUAGCAUAUAUGGUGUACAACUUUAUUAAUAAAUGUACUAGACUAGGAUACAUAUUUAUAGACCAUGACUAACACAUAUUUUGAAAAGGAUUAUUUAAUUAAUAAAAUAAUAAAUAAUUGAAUUUUAUGCAAUUAAAUAAGCCUAAACAAGUCAUGUGAUCGUAUAAGAGUCCACAUAAAUUGAAAGUGGUGAUCAAAGAUGUGUGAGGUGAUGAAUUGUGGUUAAAUAACCAAUAUCCUUAGGGCAAUGUUUACCAAAGCACAAGUAUGUUGUGAGGAAUUCAUUUGUUCAUCUUUAGUUCAUCCUCGCAUAUCCUUGAUCACCUUCUACAAUGUACGUAGACUCUCAUACAAUGACAUGACGUGUUUAAGAUCCUUUAAUAGAAUAAAAUUUAAUUAUUUAUUUUUUGAUUAACUAAUUUUUUUUUCAAAUAUGCUACUAAGGGAAAUAACCAAUACGGUAUAUUAUUGACAAGACUUACAGUCUAUGAUAUACACUGGACACAAUCGAUAGACCUCAUAGUGGAAUGAAUCGAUUACAUUGAUGGUCGAACAUCGAUAUUGAGCUCAAUCAAUAAGAAACUACAUCGACUUUUUAUUUUAUUUGGUAUAAAUCAACAUAAUUGCAGAUAGACCAGAUGCAUUUUCCAUUAGCAUAUAUGAAUUAAUUUUGACAUCUAAAAACUGUUUCAUUCAUCUUCUAAUAGGGUAAAUUGCAAAAAUUCAGAAAAGAAGAAAAUUGUAAAUUUAAAGUGGAGACAAAUACAAUAAACAUGAAAAAAAUUUAUUCAUAAGUUCAUUGCAAUGGUUUAGCACCAUAUUUAUAGGAAAAUAACCCCAAAUAGACCAAAUUCAUUUCCCAUUAUCAUAUAUGAAUUAAUUUUCACAUCUCACAACCGUUUGAUUAAUCUUGUAACAGGGAAAAUUGCAAAAAAUCAAACAAGAACAAAAUUGUAAGAAUUAAAGAGAAGACAAAUAUAGGAAACACAAAAUACUUCAUUCAUACUUCAUUGCAAUGGUGUAGAACCAUAUAUACAGCAAAAAAUAAGCAAAAACAACAAAAUAAAGAAGCUUUCAUCUAACAUAUUCCUAACCAUGAAAGCUUCCCAUUGCAAUGAACUUAAAACGAAAAAAAAAAACAGAAAUUAAAACCUAAACUAUGGGGAUGGUGGGGGGUGAUCAUCUCCUCCGGUUAUAUGUUGAGCCCCUCCACAAUCGCCCAUAAAAAAUGGGCAAUUCGCCAGAAUUCGUAGUGGCAGUGCUCCUUGUCCUGUCCUAGAUCAUAAAAGAGAUGAUUUAGGUCGUUGCGAAGGAGGAGAAGGUCGAGCUACGCUGGAUCCUCCUUCGUCUCAAAGAAAUGCCAGGCAUCUUGUCGAUUUAAUCUAUUUUAUGUGUUGAUGAAGAUAAAUUUUGGGUAUAGUAUAUGGGUGUUUAUGUAGACCAAAAUAGAACCCUUUGGUCUUCCCGCCCAGUGGUAGGUAGAUGCAUGGAUCGGUGAAAAUCGAAGAGGUAGCGUAUACCCAAUCGACACAAGGUGUGAGUGGACGUGUAAAAGAUUUUUUUAUGUGUAAUAAAUGCUCAACUGUUUAUAUGUCCCUUUGAAUAUUUUAGAAUUUUUAAUAGACUUUAUAUGGGAUCAAUAAUAACCUAUGUGGUAUAUAAAGAUUACUAGCAAUAGAUCGGACACACAAUAUAUGCAAUACCUUAAAAGGUCGAUAAUAGACAGAGUAAAAUUGAUAAGACUGCAUUACUCAGACCACUGAAGGGUUGUCAAAAUGCAUACACUUCCAUGACUUACAAAAACACAAAUUCAUACAAGUCUAACUACAAUUUGUUGUUGUUACAAGUGGUUCUCUUGUGCCCAGGUCUCUUGCACACUCAAUACUUGUUCCUCUUCUUUGAAUUGAAAGUCUCGCCCACGCCCUUAACGCAUUUUUUUUCUUCCUUCCGAGCUUGGUGACCACAAGAGGUGGAAUAAUAUUCACGUCUAGCAAUUUUUGUGGCAUGCGUAAUUCGAACUCCAAAGGGACAACAUUAAUUGAUUUCGACUAUGCAAGGAGGUACUCUUCCACUUUAUACACGGGUGAAGAGUAAUAACAGACUCUCAGAUCAUAAUCAUCACUGUACUUCACUCGCAAAGCGGACAUCGCGUGAGCACAUGGUAUUUUGAUUAGCUCAAACUUCCUACAAGAACACAACCUUCAGUAGGUCGACUUUGGCAGUAUAGCCACUGUCGAACACUGUGAAUUGCCUUUCGUCCCCACUUAUGUUCUCCACAUAAAAAGAGUCGCCCUCGCUCAUAUUGUCCCUUACGAUCUUUUUGGUGGUUAGCACAAAUUUGUUAUCCUUAUAUUUGAGGACAUACGCACGCCUCUUACUGAAUAUAUCACCAAACCUCUUAGUAAUUGAAUUAAAUAUAGAUGCCAUAGGGUACGCUCUUUUGGAAAUCAACAUAGCGUUCAUUGACUCGGUAAUAUUUGAGGUCAUCACGUCAAACUUGUUGUCGAAGAAAUAUGGCCUACUCCAUUUCUCAAAGCCAAGAUCAUGCUCAAGGAAAAAGGCUAUCUCAGGACAGUAGUUCUUGAAUUCCUCAAAAUGGUCGCUAAACUCCUCGGGAGAAUAUGCCUUUGCCGCGUUGUAGAAUAGAUAGAGGUGUUCUCCACAGUGGUGAUUUACCCAAAGAUUUUUACCUAGGUGUCUCAAGCAGUACCCAUGAUGAGCAUGGUUGUAAGCCCUUGCGAUGUCAUUGGUGAUGCUCUUGUGCCUAUUGGAGAUAAAGCACAAAUCUGGUCCAUCGACUACAAUAGACUUCAUCUUCUCAAAGAAGAACGUCCAAGGUGCAUCAUUCUCCUUGUCAACGAUGCAAAAGGCAGUGGGAUAAAUAUGAUUCUCCAUAUCCUGUGCAACCGCGCUUAGCAGAACGCCCUCGUACUUACUGUAUAAAUGAGUGUCGUCGACCAUAAUAACCUUCCUCAUACGGUCGAAUCCCCUAAUGUAAGGGCCCAAUGCUAAAAAGUAGUACAUAAAUCUACAGUCGACCUUGUUCACCAUGAUGGAAUAGGUAGUGCCAAUAUUAAGAGCGUCUAUAAUGUAUGAAAAAGCUAGCAGGCAGGAAUACCCGUGCUCUAAUGUCCCUCGAAACAUUUCCUUGGCAAUCACACCCCCCGACCAAUAUUUCCAAUAAUUUGGUCUACUUCUCAAGUUCUUGAAAAUGAUCUUCCGAAUCUCACUAGUGUACGAACCCUUUUCUUCGCGAUACAGGUUCACUUAGAGCGAUGCAAUGACUUUAGAUGUGAUUAUCCUAUGGAUGCACAUGGCGUAUUUGAUGCUGCAAUUAUGAUCUCUGACAUAUUUAUAGAUGACAAAUCUGUUCAUGCAUUGAUACUUCUUCGGCCACAACAUCCACGCGCAACUAGGACUAACGCAUUUCACUUUGAGGAAUUAUUUGCAACUCUUCAACGUAGCACAAUCAAAAGAAUUUCUCACAGCUGCUACAUCCAACAACAAUUUUAGCUCCUUUUUGCUGCUGAAUAUUUGAUUUAGCUAAAAAUAGUUCUGUUGGAGAAGGUGUAGUUGGUUUGUGCUCCCAAUCCACACUCUUCUCUCACUUUUUCAGAGAAAAUUGGAUCUUCCAAUUCCAUUGAAUGAUCUUCUGAAUCCAUUGGAUGAGCAUCCAAACUCUCAUCUUCAAAUAAAUCAUGUUCGUCGAAUGUCGGUUGUGGUGGCGAGAUUGUCGGAGACCCCAGGACGGUAUUUAUUUUCAAUAAUGGCCUUGAUAUCCAACAUGUGUAAAAACACAUGCCAAUCAUUCUUUAUGAACGUGGAAUGUAUUUUACCUCGCCCUUUCAUUACAUAGCUAAUCACAACGUUCUUUGGCUCGCAAUUCAAUUCUCCGCUCUCAAUUACGCUUCGAACCAUGUCGUCGUAUGAACUAUUGCAAGGCAGCGGGAUAAGCACUGUCUCCUUGCUAGAUGAUUUCCAUUUCCAAUAGUUAGGACCCUCCUCCCACACACCCAUAUAAUUACCACCAACGAUAAUUUCCUCAACUACUGCCAUAAUAGACCACACUAUUCGAUAAUAGAUUAAGGUAUCAGUCUAUAGCAGGUCAAUGACUGAUCGACCAUUAGUAUGAAAAUAUCCAUACAAAGAUACGAGUGGACUGAUUUUGCAUAUAAUUGAUGCCCACCUGGCCCUAGGAUGGACAAAUGUAUGUGUAGGACUUCUAAAUUAUUGAAAUAUAUCUAAUGACGAGGUAUUGAGAGGAUUUGAAAAGUUUUUCAAGCUAGUAAAAAUGGUGAAAAAAUAUUUUUUGUAUUUUUAUUUUCAAAAAGAAUGGAACAACAAUGGAGGAAAUGGUGAGGAAUGGAGAUUUUCAGUUGUGAUGAGCAACUUUUUGUUGGAAAAGUGGUCGAAAAAGUUGCCGGAAUAAAAAAUUAUUGGUGAAAAAGGGAGCUUCUAUUAGUGGCUUCUUGGAUAAUUUUUUUAAUUAAAAUAGGGAAAUAUAAAAAUAUAAUGGAAAAUAUUAAAUAUUAAAUGGAUGAGGUGGGAGGCUAAAGUGUAAAGUUUAAAACUUGUGUGCUAGGUUUGUAUGAAAGAAGUGAUGACGUCAUUUUAGUUUCUAAACACCUAAUUUUUCAAGACUACUAUCUAAAUGCCAAAAUAAGUUUUGAAAGUGUCUAUUUUGCCCUCUCUCCUAGAUUACUGCUUUGUUACUGUUUCAAGAAACUGAUCAGUUUCUUGAGGUGUUGAUACAGGUGCAAAGAGUACAAGACCUUUCUCAAAGGGUCAAGCUCGGAUUUACAAGUGGAUGAAGUCUUUUGGACCAUUUCAAGGCAUUGGCAUAAGUUGAAGAGAGGAGAAAGGAUCUUACACUCCAGGGCGCCUCACUUAAAGGGCAAUGUAUUCAUUAUACUCCAAAAGUCUACACUCAAGAGGCGCCUAUUUCUUGGCUUUCAUUAAGGGCAAUUUGAUCCUUUUGUGUAAUAACUAUAAAUAAAAAUUUAGGCUUCUAUUUUUCAUUAGCUUUUGAUGAAUAUUGAGUGAACUUAUUUGGUAGUCUUUAUUUUCUUCUCUCUAUGAGAUGAAACCGAAAUUAGGGUUAGCUUUGAGUGCGGAAUCACUUGAAUUGAGAAUUGGCUUAGAAAUAUUGGUGCUUGGGGAAGUUUGAGUCCCUUUUGUGUCAACAUAAGAGUGUGGUGUUUCCAUUACAAGCAUUAGUGGGCUUUGGUGUUUGAUACACACCUUGGUUUCUCUUGUAUUGUGAUGGUUAUGUCUCACUAUCUAUCUUUACUUUCAUGUUCUUAGCUUGUGUUUUCUCUCUUAAUCAGUGUGUUGUUUGCAUCUAGUGUUAUUGUUUCUUCAUCUUCUUUCUUUAGUUGUAUUUUCGGUUUAUAUAGGUUGAUCUCAUAUCAGUUGUUCAUCAUCAUCCAAAAAAAAAACAACACUUUCUUUGAUUAGCCUGAGAUCAUUUUCAAAAUAAGCAUGAGAUGUCUGUCUAAAUAGGAGUAAAAUUUAUUGAGACACUAACCAUCGACUUACUAAAGAUAUCAACUAUAAUUUAAGAACUAUCAAUGUAUUUCACCUAUCUUAUUUGCAUUUUAGAUAUUUAUAAAUAUUAUAUAAGUAAUUGCAUAAAUUCUCUAUUGUUACACCUUCAACGAUGUUAGAUUUGAUUAUUUAAAUAAAUAUCGCAUUUAAUGUCACAUUUGAACUCAUUAAAACGACUCACACGUGCGAAGAGCGUACACCUAAACUAGCAAUAAUGAUAAUUGUGAAAUACAUUUUAAAAAAAUAUCUAAAUAAUAAUAAUAAUAAUAAUAAUAAUAAUAAUAAUAAUAAUAAUAAUAAAGAGGAAAAGUUAUUUCAUUUUUACAAGAAAUAUUUUAAAAUUUUGAACUACACAACUCAAGCUUUAUAUAAAUAAAGUUUUAACAACAACAUCCAAGUUAAUGCAUCGCAAACAAAUGACUAAUAUCUUAUUAAAAAAUAUUAAUCCUUAUUUUUGUUAAUAAUCAUAUUAAUAUGUGAAGUCAAAGGUUAAGUAUCUUUUAAAAAUACUACAUCGAAAUAAUUACUAUAUAAAAAUAAAUAGUACAAUUCUAAAUUAUUAUUGUAGUAUUUUUGUAUGUAUAUUUAUAUUGUAACACCUCUCAUUAAAAUUUGACUUUAAGCCACAAAUUUUAUUAAGACGUUGCUAGAGAAAGGCAAAGCAAGAAUGAGAGAUGAUGGGAGUGGGUCGUGGAGGAUUGUAGGAGUUCUGAGAGCACAGGUAGAAGAACUUCAGGCAGCAAAUACUAACAAAGAAGCAACCACAAAUCUAAUGGUUAUGCACAAUAUGCCUGAAAAAGUGAAUGAAGAUGCAAUGUCAUGUUGUUGUUUUUGCAUGGGAUUCUUGAAUAUAUCUCUUGUCACACCCUUUUUUAACUCCAAAAGAAUUGAUUUUAAGAUUCAAAAGGAUUUCUAUUAUUAUGUGACAAAAGGUGAAAAUUUAUUCCCAAAAAAGGAUUAUUUUUACUUUCAAAACUUAGAGUCGCCACUUCACAUAAUUCGAUGUGCCAAGUCACCUUUGAAAAAUUCUUUUCAAAAUGAUUUGACUCUUUAAGGCUGGUUUGCGAACAAAGAUUCCGAGUAAGGAAUUUUGUUGACCGAGGGGAAGGUGUUAGGCACCCCUCGAUCCCGUGGUUUGACCACGCUCGCUUGGUGGAGGAUAUCAGCUAAUUUAACACUACGGAUGUAUAAACCACACAAAACACAUAAAAACAGUCAAUCAAACAAUCCAAACAUACAAAUCCCAAAAUAUAGUGUAUAGUCCAAUUAUACAGACCCGAAACAUAAAGAAUGCAGAAAUGUAAACCUACUCUAGUCUAGGAUAAUCCUAACUACACUCCAUUGCUUUCUCCACCCGAUGUUCCGGGCCUUGAUCGUACGCCGUCUUCAAGUACAUGAUACUUUGGGGCAUUCCCCGGAUAAAUCAAUACAAAUCCCAUGGGGCAUUCCCUGGCCAAAUGAAUACAAUAGAUCCCAAUGCAUAAAUCAAAACCACUCCACAGACAUUUCAUCAUUAAACAAUCACUGAUCUAAAUUUUCCUACCCGAACCUACUGUUGCCUACCCUGCUCGACCUAUCAAUCAACGACAUCAAUGAAUCAAAACAACAAUAUUCACUUUAUCAACUUUCAAUUCUCAUCCCACUUAUUUCUAUUUGAGUUUAAAUCAUUCAAUUCAAACAAUCAAUAUGAUGAUCCAAACAUAUCAAAAUCAACAAAAAUAAAAGCCACACACCAUGAAUUCAACACAUAAAGCAUCAAAUGAUUAAGAUUAAUCGAGAAGGAGAUGAGAAAUAGACCUCAACUAUCUUCCAAACAAUUAGCGACAGAUCGAAGCUCACGAACCAAUGAAACUCUACCAACCUCAAGAUCAACUCGUCAACUCGAUUUAAGAAAUUGCUAUCUAAAAUAAGACAGACGAACCAACGAAUAACGAUGCCCAAAUCUAAUACAGAUACAAAAAUGAUGCGGUUUAUGAGUUUUUUUUUAGAUGGUGAUGUCGUUUUCACCUAACCGGAGCUCUGGCGAGUUCAAAAGGAAUGGAAAACGAAGAAAACACUCAGAUUCCGGCUGACGGUAACUUUUCCCGAUGAGAAAUCGCCGAAAAACCCCAAAAUCAACCGGAUUUGCACUGUUUUUGUUCAAAACCUCGAUUUCUAUCUGUUUUUCUCCUCAAGCUCACUGAUUUCGUCCCCAAUAUCUCUAUUUUUCUCUAUUUUCCUCAUUUUUUUGAUUUCGAUCUCUCCCUCUUCGUUGUUCUCUGCUUCCUCUUUCAUCUCUCUCUCCGUCUCUCACUAUGUGGUUGUGUGUAUUGAAUAUAUGGGUGUCUAUGUGUUGAAUCAAAAGAAAAGAAAAAUCUCCAUUCCUGUAUUCUCUGUGUAUAUGUUGAAUUGGGAUCCUUUACUUUAUGGUCACUACGAUGUGCGUGAAUUCUUGUAGGUGUGUUAUUGUGAGAUUGUAUAUGGGUAUUGUGAAAAAUGGAAAUGGUCCAGUGGUGUGUGAUUUCUAUUCACUGUGUGUAAAUUUGAGUGAGGGUAAGUCAAUUUGUUUUGCUGUGGGGGCCCGGAGUGUAUGUGAGGUGUCUUUUUUUUGUUGUUUAUGCGUUAGUUAAAAGGAAUCAACAAUGUGAGGGGUGGUGAUGUGAGUGGGGGUUGGGGUAGUGGUAGGGUAGGUGAGGUGUAAGUUGGUUCGAAUAAUGUGAAAAAUGGCUAUUCUUGAUUAGGUAGGUUGUUAUCACUUUGUUAUUUUUUAUUUUUUUGUGGGGUAUAAUUAUAUGGACGAGGGUACACGGUAGAAUAAGGUAAAUAGGAAAAAAAUAUCUUUUGGAGGGAAAAAAUUACUUGUCUAUAUCAUGACCCCUUUGAAUGUAAACACGCAGUGUUUUUAGACAAAGAAGUAAGGGAUGAGACAGAAUUUUGUCCCGACCAUUAUUCAAAAAUGAAACAAAAAGAAGGAGGGAAACUAAGUUUUGAUUUAGGACAUCCUACCUACCCAAGUUAUGAGGGAAACAAGUCACGGGUAUCUCAAAGGCUUGGAGAGAGAAGGACUAUACCGAGUUGGAGAGUCAUGUGAAUCCCGUCGAGGUUUCAGUCCGCGGCUCUCUUAUUACAUCAAAAAUGAAAAUUAUAAGUUAAAACAUAAAUGAAAUUACAAAAAUCCUAUCUAUGCAGCUUCUUUUGGACUCUUGACUUGAGUUUCAUCAUCCUAUUCUUCAGACGGGCUCCUGACUUGCAAUUUCUUCAACUUGUUGUUUGGCUUUCAGUUUUUUCAACUUGUUGUUUGACAUUCAACUUCUUCACCUUGUUGUCUGACUUUCAACUUCUUGACCUUGUUGCUUGACUUUCAAUCUCUCAACCUUGUUACUUGACUUUCAAUUUCAUCACCCUAUUCUUCUGGUGGGCUCCUGACUUGCCAUUUCAUCACCCUGUUCUUCAGGCGGGUUCCUAGCUUUCAAUUUCAUCAUCCUGUUCUUCAGGCGGACUCCUGACUUUCAAUUUUUAUCACCCUGUUCUUCAGGAAGGCUCCUGACUUGCAAUUUCAUCUCCCUGUUCUUCAGGCAGGCUCCUAACUUUCAAUUUGAUCACCCUAUUCUUCAAGCGGGCUCCUGACUUUCAUCUUUCAUCACCUUGUUCUUCAGGCUGGCUCCUAACUUGCAAUUUUAUCACCCUAUUCUUCAGGUGGGCUCCUAACUUUCAAUUUUGUCAUCCUAUUCUUCAGGCGGACUCCUGAAACCAAAAUCAAAGCUAAUACAAAAAUAUCCCAAAUGAAGAUUAUGCUAAAGAAAGAUUUCAUUUUUUGAAAGUAUUGUCCCAUUUUCCAGGAGGGUCUUGAAUAGAAAGUAAAAUCUCAUUUUUCAGGAGGGUGCUGAACAGAAAGUAAAUUUCUAUUUUUCAGGAAGGGCCUGAAUAGAAAGUAAAAUUUCAUUUUUUAGGAGGGUCCUGAACAGAAAAUAAAUUCCCAUUUUUCAGGAGCGUCCUGAACAGAAAGUAAAAUCCCAUUUUUCAAGAGGGUCUUGAACAUAAAGUAAACUCCCAUUUUUUAGGAGGAUCCUGAGCAGAAAGUAAAAUCCUAGUUUUCAGGUGGGUUCUGAACAGAAAGUAAAAUUCUAUUUUUUAAGAGGGUCAUGAAUAGAAAGUAAAUUUCAAUUUUUCAGGAGGGUCCUGAACAUAAUAUAAAAUUCCAUUUUUCAGGAGGGUCCUGAGCAGAAAGUAAAAUCCCAUUUUGCAGGAGGGUCAUGAAUAGAAAGUAAAUUUCAAUUUUUCAGGAGGGUCCUGAACAUAAUAUAAAAUUCCAUUUUUCAGGAGGGUCCUGAACAGAAAGUAAAGUCCCAUUUUUCAGGAGGGUCCUGAAGAUAAAGUAAAAUCUCAUUUUUCAGGAGGGUCUUGAGCAGAAAGUAAAAUCUCAUUUUUUAGGAGGAUCCUGAACAAAAAGUAAAUUCCCAUUUUUCAGGAGGGUCCUAAACAGAAAAUGAAAUUCCAUUUUUCAGGAGGGUCCUGAAUAGAAAGUAAAGUUUCAUUUUUCAGGAGGGUCCUGAACAGAAAGUAAAGUCCUAUUUUUCAGGAGGGUCCUGAACAGAAAGUAAAAUUUCAUUUUUUCAGGAGGGUCCUUAACAGAAAGUAAAAUUUCAUUUUUUCAGGAGGGUCCUGAGCAUAAAGUAAAAUCCCAUUUUCUAGGAGGGUCCUGAACAGAAAGUAAAAUCUCAUAGAUGUGCUUUUCCAAUGGUUUUUGAAUUAAGUGAAGCGAAUAUGCACUUGUUUAAACAAAGAAAAUUUUUCAGUUAAAAACUUAGUGGUGGCUUGUAGCACUUGGCUAUCCCGACACCUGCUCCAGUGUUCAUUCACUUCAUUUUGUUUCAGAUUGUUGCCACUUGCCCCUGCUUUAUCGUGUCAUUGACCCAAAUACAGAUUAAGGGAAUAACUCUAAAACAAACACAGUAUCUCUGUUUUCCCUUGCUCCGCAGAUAAACCCUUUGAACCUUGGUAUUUUCAUGAGUUCCCAGACUUAUCUAUUGACAAAACUUUUUGCAUGCCUUGUUCUAACUUGCAAUCUUGUUUCUUUCAUGUGCUGGCCCUUUGUCUAGCUUUGUGCAACUGAAGAAGUUGGUAGCCAGUUUUGAAAUCUUUUCUCACUUAUUUUGUCAAGGACUUGACUCAAAGACACGAGAAAAAUGAUAAUAAGUUUUUUUUAUUUGGAUAACUGACUCAAGAAAAUAAAAAUAAAGAUAAAGAGAAGAAAGAAAAGACAAUGAAUAUCCCCAUUUGAAACAAAGAAACGAAAAAUUUAUCUAAAAUGAUAAUCAACUCUAAUGAUUAUGCCAUGCAUUUGGAUUAAGUUGCCUGAUCUUUUCAUCAAAACUUUCAUCAAUUGUUGUUGAGUUAACGGUCUUGAAACUGAGUUACUUCCUUAGGUCAAUUGUAUUCAAAACCUCAUUCGUCUAGUGACACCUUGAAGGAUUUUCACCAACAAGCUUCUCUCAUUUUUCUCUCGCCUCACCAUCGUCUUAUGAUGCCUGUAAGAGUUUUCACCGAUAAGACUCUUUUAUUUUUAUUUCUCUCAACUCACAGUCGUUUUACAGUGCCCGUGAGGGUUUUUACCGAUAAGACUUUUUCACCGAUAAGACUCUCUUAUUUUAUUUCUCUCCUGAUUCCUUAUGCUGAGGAAGACAAGUAGUUCCCAAAAUGUGUCAUCAUAUCCAUUGCAUGCUUAGCCUUAACAUUCUCAAAGAUUGAUCUGAAGGUCUUUCUUUGGUUGUAACUUGGAUUUUGGAUAAGGUUAGAAAAAAAGGAUGGCAUGGGGCACAAACGACAUUUGAAGUUGGGUGGGACUUAUAACUUUUGGAAUCGACUCAAUUAAUGAGGAUUAACUCAUGCCCCAAUUUUUUUUGACUGGGAAAUUCUAAAUUAUUUAUUUGGUUGGACUGAGCCCAGAGUAGGGCAACCUACGUAUCUUACCUCCGAGAGAAGAGAAUCAGGUCGCGUGUAGUUUUGGCAGCUUGUUUUGCAUGAUUUAGACUUUUGAUUCUUUUUCUCUUAUUGACACUCUUUUCUUUUUGAAUUUUUCUGACUCUAUUUGUCUUGACACUUUUCUUUUGAACUUUGCUGACUCUAUCUUGAUUCCAAAAGAGGGGUAUGUAAGAAAAUAGGACUAAAUCUCAAAUGAGGUAAACAAAGGAUGACACGAUAUUUGAAUAGUAGAAUGAAAUGCCUUCUUCAUAUCAAUCCUUGAAAAUGCAAGUACAUAUCGUGCAAUAUGAAAGUGAGAGAUAAAGAUUAUUUAUGACAUUGUUUAAGCAAUAACUUUAACUGAGUCUGUGCGUCACUACUCUUGCACUUUGUUCAACAUAUCACUCUACUUUUGUUGUACAUUCCUUACAUCGAAUGACUCAUGCUUUCGUGGAGUUGAUUUUUCUGUCCCUCGGGAUCACACAUCCGCUAUUUGACAUAAUUGAGCAAUGUUUUCAAUUGAUGACCAAGUUAUUCUUGUGAUUCUCAAAAUAAUUGUCUUAAUUUUCAAUGAAGGCUUGAACUUGUCACCAAAUGUCUCAACACUCUACCUAUUUUCUCAAAUGCUCUCUUUUUCUAACUUUAACCCUCUGAUUCAAUGUUCAUGCUUAUAUUGAAUUUUAAGAUCUGGCUGAAAGAUCUGCUAGCAUGUCAUAUCACUAGAAUUAACCUAAAAUGUAAUCUGUAAAGAAAACAAAAAAAACACAUAUUUAAAACAUAAAGGAAAAAGGGACACUUCGUUUAAUUAAAAUAAAAGAUAGAAGGGUUUGAACAUAAUGACAAAUGGACAAAACUAGAAAGAUCCUGAACUACAACCCUGAAAUAAUUUGGAUAACAGAAAAUAAACUACCAGACCUCUUCCUAGUAAGGAAAGGGAUGACUUCUCAAUUGCUCAGCCUAACAACUUAACCACUGUUUUGCAUAUCAGCAUGACUAAAACUUUCCUCAUUGUCAAUAUUUUGCACCAUAAUUGAUUAAUCUUGAAUCAUCUUUUCAAUUUCUCUUUUCAAAGCACGACAAUCUUCAAUACUGUGACUCUGAACCUCGGAAUGAUCUGCACAUCGUACAUUAGGAUCAAAACUUAUUGAAUAAGGGCCAGGAGUAUAACCAAGGAGAGGAGUGAUCAUGCCCCAUUAUACCAAUCUCUGAAAUAAACUGGCAUACGACUCUCCAAUUGGUGUGAAGUUAUCCCUCAACUUUUGUCUCAUUUCAUUGUUUAACUUGGAUCGAACAUCAGGCCUAGAAGGGCUUUGGUAUGUUUGUGGAAUUGGUGGAUGAUUUUGAGGAGUUGGUGUGUGCCAUUGUGAGUAAGAAGGGAGUUGAACAUAUAGUUAUGCGCAAUAUACUAGAUAUGAAGGUAGAGAAACAGAGUAUAAUGGAUUUUGGGAGUGAUUAUGAAGAGCUUGGAUAUGAACUUAGGCUUGAGACUGACGGUAACAACGGCGUCGUCUUCUUGGAUGUGCCCGUUCUCCAACUACAAUAGCAGUGUCAUCUUUCUCAUUCUUCUCCCCUUCAAGUUUCCUUAAUUGAUCGCAAUACUGUCCCAAAUGUUUCACGGAUUCCUCAUGCCUAUCUUGCUCCUCAAAUUUUGACAUCUCAAAGAUUAAAGGAAGGUUAGCACUUUAAGGCAUGCCCCAGUCUUUGUAUGAAAUAUCUUCUUUACCCGCAGGUCCUAGAGAAUUUUUCAUAGCAUUUUCUGCACUCUUCAUUUUUCCAACCAUUUUCUCCGACUCUUCUGGCACACGAGACUUCUUGUUAAGAAAUUUUGGUGGUCCAGUUAACUUAAAAGCAGGAUCAGGAGUAUAACAAUGAUCACCAAGAGUAUUGAAUAUAGGUUCACUAGCAGCAUGGGGACGCAUAACCGUUGGGCGAGCUAGUGUGGAAGUCCCAGUAGAGGAUUGAGCAAUAAGAUCACAGACAAUAUAUGGUGCUGUGAAUGUGGUAGACUUAUACUGAUGAGCUAAAGAAAAAGUGGUGGAAGUAUUAAGGUGCAUUUGAUGUAGAAUAAAUUCUGAGGCAUUCUGUGGUGCAUCAACAACAGUAGGAAACUGACUUUGCGAUUUUGGUGGAAGACUCAAGGUAUUUGUAGGGUCAAAAGUGGGGAACAAAGGUGGAGGCAUCCCACUGGCUCAAGCUCGAUGCAUUUCUGUCAUUUGUUGCCUUAGUCUCCUAAUCUCUUGCUUUAAACUCUCGUUUUCAUGACUCUUUGUUUGAUCCAUGAUGUCACUCUCUAUAUCUUUGUUGGACAGAAUUAACCCUUUGGAUUUGGAGUGAUGUGGAGGGCCAGCCAGAAUGCCAUAAACCAACCACCUUAAACUGACUUAACAAAAACAACAAAUGUAUUAGAGUUCAACACUUUUUCAAAACUCUUUUCCCUUCUUUUUUUGAAAAGAUCACCGAACCCAAGAAGGGCUCCUACGUAUCUCACUCUCGAGAGAGGAGAAUCAGGGGUGCGUAGUUUGUCCAGAUAGGAAAAUUAAUGAUUAAAUAACCGACUGUACACUGACUUGAGAGACGCGACCACAAACAGAAGAUGAAAAACAUCAAUAAAAUCUUUUUGAGUUUUCACUUUAACACUUAACCUAAAAAUGACACCAACAAAUAUGAAAGGAAAAACUUUUUUCUUUUUUGCAUUUUCGUUAUAAAAGAUGUACAAAACUUGUACUAUCUUUUGAUUUUCUUUUAUAAAAGGCUCCUAUUAAGGAAAAUCUUAUUUUCGAAAUUUUCGAAUUAUGAAUGCUUACUAAAGAAACAAAAGAAAUUUUUUUUCGAUGUUUUUGUUUUUGACAAAUGAGUGCAAAAGGUAAAAAGUAUUUUUGAAUUAUAAAAAACAAAAGCCAUAAAGAACUCUAAAAACUACAAAAACUUUUUUUUGACUCUUUUUUCCCUUUUUUUUCGAUUUUUCCAUGCCCACACACCCUUCUUUAAUUCUAGCAAAUGUUUUCCCCAAAUCAGUCCAUCAAAUGACCAUAUUACCCUCAAAGAUGCAACAGUUAGCACGUUGGGAUGCUUCAGGGAUGACCUCCUACAAAGGGCCAAGUAGGCCCCUCUAGGUCUUCAAAAUGAUGAAUAUAAACAUGACCUAAAGGCUGAUCUACGUUGGGGUUCACUAACAAGGCUGUUUGGGGGAGCUUAUGGUCGAUAGUGGCUGCUUUGCUUUCCACCUACUCCAUAACACCGAAGGCUCCCUCCCUAAAAUAAGGGUGACUCAACUAGAGGUCGUGUACAACACGUGUACUACAGACUUGUUGCAGAAAGAAUGACUCGGGUUAUGCACAUGAUUUCAGAUAUAAAACGGUAACACAUAAGAUAAAAACUGUAAACAAAGAGCACAUAGGCACUCAACAAUGAUAAUACAAUAACACAAAACAACACAAACAAAAUGUUCAUACCCCUAUAGUGCCAAACUAAGCUGAUACAACUCCAAAAUAAGCUUGAAUUCUUAAAUAUUCCCCAGCAGAGUCACCAGAGCUGUCACACCCUUUUUUUAACUCCAAAAGAACUGAUUUUAAGGUUCAAAAGGGUUUUUAUUAUUAUGUGACAAAAGGUGAAAAUUUAUUCCGACAAAAGAAUUAUUUUAACUUUCAAAACUUAGAGAUUCCGACUAAGGAAUUCUGUUGACCGAGGGGAAGGUGUUAGGCACCCCUCGAUCCCUUGGUUUGACCACGGUCACGUGAUGGAGCAUAUCGGCUAAUUUAACACUAUGGAUGUAUAAACCACACAAAACACAUAAAAAUAAUCAAUCAAACAAACCAAACAUACGAAUCCCCAAAUAUAGUGUAUAGUCCAAUUAUACAGACCCAAAACAUAAAGAAUGCAGAAAUGUAAACCUACUCUAUUCUAGGCCUUGAUCGUACGCUGUCUUCAAGUACAUGAUACUUUGGGGCAUUCCUCGGAUAAAUCAAUACAAAUUCCAUGAGGCAUUCCCCGGUCAAAUGAAUACAAUAGAUCCCAAUGCAUAAAUCAAAACCACUUCACAAACAUUUCAUCAUACAACAAUCACUGAUCUAAAUUUUCCUACCCGAGCCUACUGUUGCCUACCCCGCUCGACCUAUCAAUCAACGACAUCAAUGAAUCAAAACAACAAUAUUCACUUUAUCAACUUUCAAUUCUCAUCCCACUUAUUUCUAAUUGAGUUUAAAUCAUUCAAUUCAAACAAUCAAUAUGAUGAUCCAAACAUAUCAUAAUCAAUGAAAAUAAAAGCCACACACCAUAAAUUCAACACAUAAAGCAUCAAAUGAUUAAGAUUAAUCGAGAAGCAGAUGAGAAAUGGACCUCAACUUUAUUCCGAACAAUUAGUGACGGAUCGAAGCUCAUGAACCAACGAACCUCGACCAACCUCAAGAUCAACCCGUCAACUCGAUUUGAGAAAUUGCAAUCCGAAACAAGACAGACGAACCAACGAAAAAUGAUGCUCAAAUCUAAUAUAGAUACGAACAAGACGCGGUUUAUGAGUCGUUUUUACCUGAUGAUGUCGUUUUCAUCUCGUUGGAGCUCCGGCGAGUUCAGAAGGAACGAAAAACGGAGAAGACGCUCAGCUUCCGGCCGACAUUAACUUUUCCCGGUGAGAAAUCGCUGGAAUACCCCAAAAUCAAUCGGAUUUGCACUGUUUUUGUUCAACACCUCGAUUUCUAUCUGUUUUUCUCCUCAAUCUCACUAAUUUCAUCCCCAAACUCUCCGUUUCUCUAUAUAUUCCUCUUUUUUUUUAUUUCGAUCUCUCCCUCUUCGUUGUUCUCUGCUUCCUCUUUCGUCUCUCUCUCCAUCUCUCACUGUGUGGCUGUGUGUAUUGAAUAUAUGGGUGUCGUUGAAUCAAAAGAAAAGAAAAUCUUCAUUCCCGUAUUCUCUGUGUAUAUGUCGAAUUGGGAUCCUUUACUUUAUGGUCACUGUGAUGUGCAUGAAUUCCUGUAGGUGUGUUAUUGUGAGAUUGUAUAUGGGUAUCGUGAAAAAUGGAAAUGGUCCAGUGGUGUGUGAUUUCUAUUCACUGUGUGUAAAUUUGAGUGAGGGUAAGUCAAUUUGUUUUGCUGUGGGGCCCGAAGUGUAUGUGAGGUGUCCUAUUUUUUUUGUUGUUUAUGUGUUGGUUAAAAGGAAUCAACAAUGUGAGGGGUGGUGACGUGAGUGGAGGGUGGGGUAGUGGUUGGGUAGGUGAGGUGUAAGUUGGUUAGAAUAAUGUAAAAAAUGACUAUUCUUGAUUGGAUAGGUUGUUAUAAUUUUGUUAUUUUUUGUCUUUUUGUGGGGUAUAAUUAUAUGGACAAGGAUACACAGUAGAAUAAAGUAAAUAGGUGAAAAAUAUUUUUUGGAGAGAUAAAAUUAUGUGUCUACAUCUUUUUUUUUUUAAUGAUGCAAAAUUUAAUUAAUCAUAAAACAUGAAAUUUAAAUAUUUGAAAAUUAAAGAUAAUUACUGUGUUAAAAUCUACACUACAGGUAUCUUAUUAGUUGAAUUAUUAUAUUCUUGAAAAUGGGAUGUAUAUAGGGUGUGUUUGAUAUGAAGGAAAAUGUUUUCCACGAUAAAUAUUUUCUUAGCAAAAUAUUUUUUUGAAAAAUAAGUUGAUUUCUUACUUAUCCUUUUAUAUUUGGUUGGUUUCAAGUCAAAUAAAAUUUUACAUUACAAAAAUAUUCUUUAAGUGAUCAACUAUAUAACCUUAUAUAUGUCUGUAAGAAUAAUUCUAGAUUUAAAAAUAAUUAAAUUUGAAAAAGAUACUUCUUUUUGAUGAAUGCAAAUUAAUAUAAAUCCAACUGGAUUGUGCAUGGUGCAGUAGAUAGGGCUGCUCCACUCUUAACCAGAGGUUGAUAGUAUGAUCCUGGAUAUGGAGAAAACUCUAUUAGGGAGCGCUUCCCCCGAAUGGGCCCUACGCAGAGAGAAUCCAAAUUAGUCAGGCUCCAAUGCAGGUACUGGACACCGGAUGGAAAACCAAAAAAAAAAGAAAAUUAAUAUACAUGAAAAUGAAAUUAUAAAUUCAAAUAAACUUGUCAUUAUAUAAAUGAAUAUAUUACAAUGACUCUUUGCUAUCAAAAUAAAAUAGGAAUAAAAAUUUAUUAAUAGUAAAAACAUCAACAAAAAAUUACAAUAAUUUUUACAUGAUGAAAUGUAGGUGUGAUGAGUUACUAAUAAAUUAGAAUAUAUGCAGUUGAAGUAUUACCAUAAAAAGAAUAGUUAUAUGAUAAAAAGUAUCUCUAAUUUCUUUCAAUAUAAGUCAAUUAAAAAAGCAUGACAGGGUUGAUUGAGAAAUAUAAAUACAAACUGAAUAAUUAAUCAACAAUUAUAUAUAUAGAAAAGAAUAUUGCACCAACUGGCAACUAAUCUAGAAGUUCUAAAGACAUAUCAAUUUACCACUAUAUAAGAAGGCUAUGUUCAGUAAAGACUAAUUAAUUUCUGACAUCACAUGUUGGAGAAGAUAAAUUGUUCAAGUGAUACGUAUGGACGUUCUAAUUAGAAUCUCAGUUUAAUUUGAAUAUUAUUUUAGAAUAGAUUUUUCUUACUUUAUCGAGUCAAUUAAAUAUACAGGUUAUGCGGCAUAUUCAUUUUAUUUUCUAUAUAUUUGAAGAAAAUAUUAUGAGUCAUCAUUCAUGUACUUUAUGUUUUAUAAAAAAUAUACUUUGUACUCUUUGAAGAUUUAAGGUAGUAAUCUUUUAUAUAUCUUACGUUUUUAAAGACUUAUAAAAAUUUAUCUUGAAAUCGAAAUGUGCAAUGAGAAUUUGACCAAUAACAUAAAACUUUACAUGUUAUACAUUAAAUAUGAAAAAACUUACAUUUCAAAUAUUGUUGCCUUAGAUUUUAAUGAGAUAAUAAUAUGAUUUCAAAAAUUAAUUAUUGGAUGAUAAUAUCAGUAUUCUAAUCUUAUGCUAAAUUAGUAAUGUUAUUUCAUGUUCGAUGAUAAUAUAGUUCUAUAAAUAGUCCAAUAUCACAUAUCUUUCAUAUAUAAGUACCGACAUGAUUUAAUUGUCAUUGGAUCCAAUGUCGCUAUAAGCUUUAGGGACAUUAACAAAUAGUGCUAAAAUAUAAUUGUCACUAAUAAUUGUUUCUAAAAAUACAUAUUUAGCAACAAUUAAGCUAAUCUGGUUAAUUAAAUGCCACAAAAUAUCACUUUUUAUGUAGUGUCUAAUUAACUUGAUUAUAUUUAAGUUCAAAAUUCAAUUUCAUCUGGCUAGCUAGUACAUUUAAUUGUGCUACAAAUAAUGAGGUCACAUUGCUAAACUCAGCUACAAAUAAUGAGGUCAUGUUGUUGAGUCCAAAUUAUUGACACCUAUCCAAUAAUGUGGCAUGUAAUGUUGUAUUGUCCGAACAAGUGAAGAGAAAGUGUACGUACACAUGCACCAGUAAGGCUUUGUGAGAUAUCGGGUGUAGCAGGAGUUAGGAAAGGUAAAGAUAGACCAAAAAAAAUUGAUAAAAGGUGAUUAGACAGGACAUAACACACAACUUCAACUUACUGUGAAUGCAUGACUUUGGAGACAAUUGGGGAUUAGGGUAGAACGGUUACUAGAUAGUCGAAUGUUGUCGUACUUUAUAUGGGAGCACUUGAUAGGGGACACGCCUCCUCUUAUCUUUAUUAGUGAUAUUAUUUGGUAGUCAUGUACGUAGACUCUUAUUUUUCAAUGUUAUUUGUAACAUUUUUUCUGUCGAAUGAGGUUCAAAUGAACCCUCUUCGAUGCCGCUCCCUAUCCUACAAAGAUAAGAAUAAGGUCGAUGUAUAUUAUACCAUCCUUUACACUCUAUUUAAUUUGUGAAAUUACACUAGAUUUAUUAUCGUUAUUAUAUAUUUUUUGUUGCAAUUUUGAAGUCAUUGAGUAUGUAAUAGAUUGACGUUAAAAUCCACUACGUAUUCAGUAGAACGUGAAUGUUUUUUUUAGUAUUAAUACAUUCAUAUUUGAUAUUUACUAUUACCUCGUGAGUUUCAAAAGCAAUAAUGAAUACUACCUUGACUAAAUAUUUGUUGAAUUAAAGUAUCAAUAGAAAAAAAAACGAGGAAAAUAAAUUCAGUCAACAUAAAAAUACUCUUUUAUAAAACACUUCAAAAGUAUUUCAAUAAUCAAUAAAGUAAAUUUUAAUUAAUAUUUUAAGAUAUAUCCGAUAAAAAUAAUUUAGUCAAGUCGUAGAAAUAACUUCUAACAGAAAUACAAAAUAAUGCAUAUAAUAGACUCUUGUGUUCGACCUUUCUCCGACCACGAAUAUAGUAGAAGCUUUAAUGAAGACAAUUAGUGUAAUUGAUAAUAUGUAUGAAAAAUAUAACAUUACAAAAAUAAUAAUUUGAAAGAUAUUGUUUAUGCCAUUUGCCAGCUUGAGUAUUUGCUAUGACUAUGAGUAUGAUAAUCAUGAAUUGCAACUUUUUAUGGCUUGGAACAUUCAAAAAGGAAAAUUGUCAAAAAGGAUAAUUUCAACAGUCAAUUCAACAGUCUAAGUAUAUUAUUUUAAUUACUCACGCUCUAUCUCAAUUUAUGUGAUAUUUUUUUCUUCUUAAUUAGUCCGAAAAAUUUCCUAUUAUUUCCUUAAUAAGAUGAUUUCUAUUUUCUAGUGACACAAAUAUAUACGAUUUGUUCUAAAUUACAAGUACAAUUUCAAUUUUUUUUUUUUUGAAUUCUUAAACUUUGUGUUCAGUCAAACACAUUCACUUAAAUUAUGAAUAUUGACGUAAUUAUCCUUUACUAUCAAACCUAUAUGGCUAUAUAUACUCAACAAAAGUCUCUAUCUCUCGAAACCUGGCCAUUAUAUCGAAGAGCUAAUUCAUUCAGAACUCAAUUACUAUUUUUUUAUAUAUAACACACCCUCGUAUCUAUUGAUAAAUUACAAAAAUAGCCCAAAAAAUAAUGUCGAUUUCGAUUGAAGCAUUGGCCAUGAUUGGAGGUGAUUAUGUUAAAGAGUAGCAUGGAAGAAUAUGAAGAACAUGAAGCACAAGUCCCUCCUCAUUUGUUAGCGAUAUUUCCACAAUAUAUUUGGGUAUGCAUAAUCUGUAUAGUAGAACAACAACUUCAAUUAGUUCAAGUUUAUAAACAAGAAUACAAUGAAGUAUAUCAAAUACCCUUAACACAAGAUCAAAAUUACCUUUCCAAGAGGUGUAUUUUAUUUUUCAGAAAAAUAGAUGAAACAGAAAUGAAUAAGGCCAAGUCGUCCAAAUUCAUGGAGUUUUCUUAAGGAAAUAAUUCCCCUCACUGUACCCGAGGUUGUGAAAUUUUUCCUCCCAGGAUAAAAUGGCCUUCAAUUCGACUAUAGCGGUACCUCAAAUAGUCGGAUUCUUCGAACGCACUCAAUAGUUUGAUUGAUCACAAAGAGUAUUUUGAAGACAAUAAGAGUUGUGUAAUCUAAAAAUUUCUAUAUCAAAACCUGUGGAUGAAACCAGGUUUAUAUAGCCACAAGAUGCCUCUUCAGAAAGGUGGCAUUGGUUCAAUUUAAAGGUGUGUGACUUUUCUGAAAAUGCAUGUCUGUUUACUUAAAACAGUGUAUCAUUUUGCUGAAACAGUACAUACCAGUUUGUGUGAAAUAUUGUGUCAUUUCAUCGAAACAUUGCAUUAGUUUGUUGAAACAGUACAUCAGUUCACUGGAAUGGUGCAUCUGUUUACUGUAACAGUGCAUCUGUUCACUGGAACAGUGCAUCUGUUUAUUGGAACAAUGCAUUUAUUUGCAGAAAUAAUGCAUCAGUUCAGUUUCAGCACUGCACUAUUUUGAAAAACUGCAUGCAUGUAUAAAUGGAGAAUCAAAACACAUUGCUGCAUUUUACUGUUUGGUAAAUUCGGAUCAUCAAAUAAAAUUAUCCAAAAAGAUAGAUCUCAUCGAUCGAUGCCAAAUCCAAAUCCAAAUUCGAAGCCAAAGCCAAAGCUGAAGCCGAGCCGAGCAAGCGACGAUGACGAUGACCGCGCGAGGCAUAUCUAUUUUCUUUCCUCACUUAUCAUGUGGAGUAAGUGUUCAUUAAUAUAAACACUACAAAGUUCUCUUCUCCCACCAAUGUGGGAGAAUUAGUGGACUUUCCAAUUUGGGAGUAUACCUUCUAAAUUGGUAUCUCCUUUCUUCCACCAUUUUUCUCUCCAUUUUUUCCAUUCACACUUCAUUCAUAUACUAUGAACCCAACAAUCCCCCACAUGAAUAGGGAAUCACUAUUUUUUUCAUAAAACUUUUACAGAAAAGUAUGUGAUCAUCAAGCAAAGACUGAUUACAUCUGGAUAAGUGAGUUCCCUUUGAACUUUCCGUAGUGAACAUGCAUUGGAUGCACUCGGUCAAUCGGUAGAUUUGAUAUCUUUGAAUCGUCGAGCUUUAAUGUACACCUAGACAACACAUGUCACAUAACCAGCCUUUUAUCAUUUAUGGUUCUUAUGGUUUUAUUCUUUUCUGCCAUGAACACGUCCCGAUUUUCAUGAGAGCUUAGAGAAUAGGCCUUUACUAAUAUUCUCUUUGAAGUGGCUUCCACUUUGCCCUCGCAUAGGUGAUUUUUAAACGUUCAAUCCUGUAGAUUAAACUAUUUGGUCUAAUCUGCCAAAUUUAGAUAAUCAUUAAAAGACUUUUCACCUUAAGUCUUAUCCUUACUUACUAAACAUUGUCUACAUCAUGAGAAUGAGUUGGGUAAUUGACAAUGUUGAACCUGUCAGACAAAACUUUUUUUGAUCUCCUUGAACCUAGCUCUUGGGAUCUACAGUCUGCUAGGUAGAGUUAAUGUCAUGCUGACUUAUCCUACGCCUUAAACCCAUUCCCUUGAAUGUCCUUUCUACUCCUUCUCUAGAUAGUCCUUUUGUAAGUGGAUCCGACACAUUAUCCUUUGACUUACAUAGUCUACAGUGAUAAUUCCACUAGAGAGAAUUUCUCUAACGGUAUUAUGUCUUCGUCUUAUAUGACAAUAUUUACCGUUAUACAUCAUGCUCCCUACCCUACCUAUUGCUGCUUGGCUAUCACAGUGUAUACAUACUAGUGCCAUUGGCUUGGGCCAAUACGGAAUAUCUUUCAAGAAAUUUCGGAGUCAUUCUGCUUCUUCACCGGCUUUAUCUAAUGUGAUAUAUUUAGAUUCCAUUGUAGAGCGAGCAAUACAGGUCUGUUUGGAUGAUUUCCAAGAGACUGCUCCUCCACCGAUAGUAAAUACAUAUCCACUUGUGGAUUUUACUUAGUUUGAUCCGGUGAUCCAAUUUGCAUCACUAUAUCCUUCAAGUAACGUAGGAUAUUUAUUAUAAUGCAAAGCAUAAUUGUGAGUGUAUUUAAGAUACCCCAAAACUCUUUUCAUUGCCAUCCAGUGGGUUUUGUUGGGAUUACUCGUGUACCGAAUUAAUUUACUGAUAGCGCAUGCUAUGUCUGGUCGUGUACAGUUCAUUAUAUACAUUAAACAUACCAAUACUCUUGCGUACUCUAAUUGCGAGUCGCUCUCACCUUCAUUCUUUCGAAGUGCAAAGCUCGCAUCCAAUGGAGUCUUGGCAAUACCGAAUUCGAUAUACUUGAACUUGUCAAGUACCUUUUCGAUAUAAUAAGACUGUGACAAUGCCAAACCUUGUGGAGUUCGAUGGAUUCUUAUACCUAAGAUCACAUCUGCAACUCCAAGGUCUUUCAUAUCAAACUUGCUCUCGAGCAUUCGUUUUGUUUCAUUUAUGUCAGAAAUGUCUCUACCGAUGAUCAACAUAUCAUCCACAUAUAAACAUACAAUGACUUGGUGAUUUGGAGUGUCUUUAAUAUAAACACAUUUAUCACAUUCAUUUGUUUUAAAUCCGUUUGCCAACAUGGUUUAGUCAAACUUUUCAUGCCAUUGUUUUGGUGCUUGCUUUAGUCCAUAUAAUGACUUGACAAGUUUACACAACUUGUUUUCCUUUCCUGGAACCACAAAACCCUUAAGUUGUUCCAUGUAAAUUUCUUCCUCCAAAUCUCCAUUUAGGAAUGUGAUUUUUACAUCCAUUUGAUGGAUUUGAAGAUCAUAUACCACCGCCAAGGUAAUUAACAUUUGAAUCGAGGUUAUCCUUGUUACUGGCGAGUAUGUAUCAAAGUAAUCAAGGCCUUCCUUCUGUUUGAAGCCUUUUACUACAAGUCUUGCCUUGUAUUUAUCAAUAAUACCAUCCACCUUUAUUUUCCUUUUGAAGAUCCAUUUAGAACCUAAAGGUUUAUUUUCAGGAGGAAGGUCAACCAAUUCCCAUAUAUGGUUGCUUAAGAUUGAAUCUAUCUCACUAUUGACUGCCUCUUUCCAAAAGGAUGAGUCUGAUGAUGACAUCGCUUCUUUAAAUGUUUGAGGCUCAUUUUCUAAGAGAAAUAUUACAAAAUCUGAUCCAAACAAAGUUAUGUUCUUUGAUUUGUACAACGUCUUGAAUUUUCUUUAUUAUGUACAUUCUCACUUGGUUCAUCUCGAGGUCGUUUAGAUCCUCCACUAGACUGUUCAUGUCUAAUUUUAUACGGGUAAAUGUUUUCAAAGAAUUCAAUGUAUGAUUCAAUUAUCGUAUUUUCACUAAUAUCCGGAUGUUCGGAUUUAUGAACCAAAAAUCAACAUGAUUUACUAAUUUUAGCAUAUCCUAUGAACACGCAGUCCACCGUUUUAGGUCCAAAAACCUCCGAAAUCCAACUCGGUAUUGAGGAAUUUGUAAUCCAAAACUGAGCUCGAUUAAUGAGGUAAGAUGAAGAAAAAACCAAAUUCUGAACCCAGUAAUUGAUGCGAAUGAAUCCGAGACAAUCAAAUCAUAAUAGUUGAACCAACCUGAGCGUUUCCCGGCUUAAUCUUCUUGGAAAUAAAAAGGAAACUAAGGAAUUUCAAGCUUUUGAAGACUGGAAAUAGCUGAACGAUGAACCAGCGGUCAAUUUCGAUGAAAUGUUUCGCCGGAGAAGCUCAAAACGGGGAUUGAAUCUCACCGGAAGACUAAACCAAGACCAGAUUUCUUACCCGUUCUCCCUCGUCUCUCGAUCUCAAAUCUCUCUCUCUCUUUCCAAUCUCUCACACUUCCAUGGCGCUUUUUCUCGUGUAGCUCUGUGUGUGUGUUCAUUUCGUCGAGUGAAAGAAAAAAAUGAGGGUAAUUGUCUUUCCCCCUUUUAGUGAGCUCCCUUUCUAUUUCAGUGGAUUUGUUUGUGUGUCUGUAUCCAUGGAAACCAACAAAAAAAUGGAGGAGCUCUCUAUGUGUUACUGUGUUGCUCUCUAUUCAUAAAAGAAAAAUUGAGUGGUUGUGUUCUAGUGAGAUCCGUGUAUGGAAUUUUUGGAGAAGAAGAUCCUCUCCCUUUUUUAUCCCUAGGUGCGUGUAUAUAUUUUUGUAGGUAGUGUAUGGGACACGUGAGUGGGGUGAGGGGUAGGGUAGUGAGGUGGUUUAAUUUGAUUGGGUAGGUUGUUAGGAUAAGAUAAAAUUAGUUAGAGGUUAUUGUUUUGUUAUUUUGUGGAGGGAUUAACACACUAGUGAGGGUGCAUGGUAAAGCGUGAGCUAAAAAUAAAUAAAAUUGGACUUCGAAGGGACAAAAUUAGGUGUCUACAGCAUGCCCCCUUUGAAUGUAAACACGAAGUAUUUUCAGAUAAAGAAGUACAUAACGAGAUAGAAUUGUGUCCCGAUCAUUAUUCAAAAAGAAUGAAACAGAAGGAAGGAGGGCAACCGACUCUUGAUUUUGGACAUCCUACCUACUCAAGUUAUGAGAGAAUCGAUUCAAGGGUAUCUCAAAGGAUUGAAAAGAGAAGGACUAUACCGAGUUGGAGAGUCGAGUGAGGCUCCAUCGAGGUUUCGGUUCGCGGCUCUGUCAUUACAUCAAAAAUGAAAAUUACAAGUUAAAAACAUAAAUGAAAUUCCAAAACUACUAUCUAUGCGGCUUCUUUUGGACUCUUGACAUGAGUUUCAUUACCCUAUUCUUCAGGCGGGCUCCUGAUUUGUAAUUUCUUCGCCUUGUUGCUCGACUUUCAACUUCUUCACCUUGUUGUUUGACUUUCAACUUCUUGACCUUGUUGCUUGACUUUCAAUAUCUUAACCUUGUUACUUGACUUUCAAUUUCAUCACCCUAUUCUUCAGGUGGGAUCCUGCCUUUCAAUUUUAUCACCCUAUUCUUCAGGCGGGCUCUUGACUUGCAUUCUCUUCAACUUGUUGUUUGGCUUUCAAUUUCUUCAACUUGUUGUUUGACUUUCAACUUAUUUUCCCCGGUCUUCAGGCGGGAUCCCGACUUUCGGUUUCACGAACUUUCGAUUUCAUCACCCUGUUCUCCAGACGGGCACCUGACUUACAGCUCCAUCACCCUGUUCUUUAGGUGGGCUCCAAAAAUCAAAAUAAAAACUAGAACGAGAAUUAUCACAAACAAAGAUUAUGAUAAAGAAAGAUUUCAUUUUUGAAAGUAACAUCCCAUUUUUCAGGAGGGUCCUGAACAGAAAGUAAAAUUUGAUUUUUCAGGAGGGUCCUGAACAGAAAGUAAAAUCUCAUUUUUCAGGAGGGUCCUGAACAGAAAGUAAUAUCUCAUUUUUCAGGAGGGUCCUAAACAGUAAAUAAACUCCCAUUUUCCAGGAGGUUCCUAAACAGAAAGUAGAAUCCCAUUUUUCAGGAGGGUCCUGAACAUAAAGUAAAAUUCUAUUUUCCGGGAGGGUCCUGAACAAAAGUAAAGCCCCAUUUUUUAGGAGGGUCCUGAACAGAAAAUAAAAUUUCAUUUUUCAGGAGGGCCCUGAACAAAAAGUGAAAUCCCAUUUUUUAGGAGGGUCCUGAACAAAAAGUAAAAUCCCAUUAGUCAGGAGGGUCCUGAACACAAAGUAAAAUCCCAUUUUCUAUGAGGGUCCUCAACAGAAAGUAAGAUCCCAUUUUUCAGGAGGGACCAGAACAGAAAGUAAAGUCCCAUUUUUCAGGAGGGUCCUGAGCAAAAAGUAAAAUCCUAUUUUCCAGGAGGGUCUUGAACAGAAAGUAAAAUCCCAUUUUUUAGGAGGGUCUUGAACAGAAAGUAAAAUCUCAUUUUUUACGAGAGUCCUGAAAAGAAAGUAAAAUCUCAUUUUUCAGGAGGGUCCUAACAGAAAGUAAAGUCCCAUUUUUCAGGAGGGUCCUGAGAAUAAAGUAAAAUCCCAUUUUCCAUGAGGAUCCUGAACAGAAUGUAAAAUUCUAUUUUUUAGGAGGGUCCUGAACAGAAAGUAAAGUCUUAUUUUACAAAAGGGUCCUGAACAGAAAGUAAAGUCUCAUUUUUCAGGAGGGUUCUGAACAGAAAAUAAAAUCUCAUUUUUCAGGAGGGUCCUAAACAGUAAGUAAACUCCCAUUUUCCAGGAGGUUCCUGAACAGAAAGUAGAAUCCCAUUUUCUAGGAGGGUCCUGAACAUAAAGUAAAAUCCCAUUUUCUGGGAGGGUCUUGAACAAAAGUAAAGUCCCAUUUUUUAGGAGGGUCCUGAACAGAAAGUAAAAUCCCAUUUUUCAGGAGUGUCCUGAACAUAAAGUAAAAUCUCAUUUUUCAGGAGGGUCCUGAACAGAAAGUAAAGUCCCAUUUUUCAGGAGGGUCCUGAGAAGAAAGUAAAAUCCUAUUUUUCAGGAGGGUCCUAAUAGAAUGUAAAUUUUUAUUUUUCAGGAGGGUCCUGAGAAUAAAGUAAAAUCCUAUUUUCCAUGAGGGUCCUGAACAGAAAGUAAAAUUCUAUUUUACAGGAGGGUCCUCAACAGAAAGUAAAAUCCCAUUUUCCAAAAGGGUCCUGAACAGAAAGUAAGAUCCCAUUUUUCAGGAGGGUCUUGAACAUAAAGUAAAAUCCCAUUUUCCCAGAGGGUUCUGAACAUAAAGUUAAUUCCCAUUUUCCAGAAGGGUCCUGAACAGAAAGUAAGAUCCCAUUUCUCAGAAGGGUCCUGAACAGAAAGAAAAAUCUCAUUUUUUAGGAGGGUCCUGAAUAGAAAGUGAGAUCCCAUUUUUCAGGAGGGUCCUGAACAGAAAGUAAAAUUCUAUUUUUCAGGAGGGUCCUGAAUAGAAAGUAAAGUCCCAUUUUUCAGGAGGGUCCUGAGCAAAAUGUAAAAUCUCAUUUUCUAGGAGGGUCUUGAACAGAAAGUAAAAUCUCAUUUUUUAGGAGGGUCCUGGAACAGAAAGUAAAAUCUCAUUUUUCAGGAGUGUCCUGAACAGAAAGUAAAAUCUCAUUUUUCAGGAGGGUCCUGAACAGAAAGUAAAAUCUCAUUUUUCAAGAGGGUCCUGAACAGAAAGUAAAAUCUCAUUUUUCAGGAGGGUCCUGAACAGAAAGUAAAGUCCCAUUUUUCAGGAGGGUCCUGAGAAGAAAGUAAAAUCCUAUUUUCCAGGAGGGUCCUAAUAGAAUGUAAAUUUUUAUUUUUUAGGAAGAUCCUGUGCAGAAAGUAAAAUCCCAUUUUUCAGGAGGGUCCUGAGCAGAAAUUAAAAUCCCCAUGGAUGUGUUUUUUCAAUGGUAACUGAAUUAAGUGAAGUGAAUUUGCCCCUGUUUCAACAAAGAAAGUUUGUCAGUUAAAAACUUAGCGGUGACUUGCAGUACUUGGCUACCAAAGCAUCUUCUCCAAUCGUUGUUCCUUUCACCUUUGUGUCAGAUCACUGAAACUUGCCCCUGUCUUGUCGCGUCACUAACCCGGAUCCAGAUUAAGGGAAAUGAGUUCUGACAUGAACGCUGAGUUUUCAUCUUACCAGGCCUCUGAGAUGCACCCUUUUCCAAAAGAGAGGUAUGAAAGAAAAAUAAAACUAAGCUCAAAUGGGGUAAACAAAGGAUGACACGAUGUUUAGAUAGCAGAAUGAAAUGUCUUCAUCAUAUCAACCUUCAAGAAUGCAAGUACUAAACAUGCAAUAGAACCAACAAAGGAUAAAAUAUCAUACAUAAUAUCUUUUGACCGCAUCAGCAUUGAUAGACAUCUCUGCCAUUUUUCCUUCAAUAUCUGUCAAAUAUAAGGCCCCAUUAGGCAACACUUUCUUCACAAUAAAGGGACCUUACUCUAGAGUGAACUUCAACCUUAAUUGCCGAAGCUUCUUUUGCAUCUACACACCUCAAAAGUCCUAGAUCUGGGGUUCUCUUGUAUAAGACUCCCCCGCUCAAGAAAAAUCCACUAGCCAAAUGCCUAAUAGUCCUCUUUUGACCAUUGGUGGCAUGUGUUGGAUAUUCUCCUAACUGUAUGUACCAAUUGAUAUCAAAGAACUAAGGUUCUCCAUCAAGCUCUUCUUCAACCGCAUUACAGUAAGCAUGCUGAUCACGACUCUCUAUAUGCACUGGAUUGAUGUAGGCCUUAUCAGGGUGUUGGAGCAUUGAAGACAAAAUGAAAAAAGCAUUAGCAAUCUCAUUGAGAAUUCUUGGAAUAUGCCUAAACUUUACAGACACAAAUCAUUGACAUAGAUCUUUCAAGCAUUAUCGAUACGGUAUUAGCUUUAAAUCUCGUGUCUCCCAAUCACCUUGAAUCUGAUGGACGAGCAAAUUUGAAUCCCCCAGCACUAAUAGUUCUUGGACUUCCAUAUCAAUAGCUAACCUCAAACCUAGAAUACAAGCUUCAUAUUCCGCCAUGUUAUUAGUAAAAUAAAAUUAAAGUUGUGCUGUUACCAAAAAAUGUUGCCCCGCCUCAGAGAUAAAAACUACACCUAUUUCGACUCCUUUCAUGUUGAUAACUCCAUAGAAGAACAACUUUCAAGCUGGAUCAGCAUCUAUAACGACUUCAUCUAUACACAACACUUCUUCAUCAGGAAAAUAUGUCUAUAAUGGCUCGUACUCUUCAUCAAUGGGGUUCUCAGCAAGAUGAUCUGCCAAGGCUUGGGCUUUCACGGCGGUUUGAGUCACAUAUACAAUGUCAAACUCGGUAAGCAAUAUUUUCCACUUUGCCAAACGACCGGUCGGCAUAGGCUUAUAAAAGAUAUACUUCAAAGGAUCCAUGUGGGAGAUGAGAUAAGUAGUGUACGAUAAAAGAUAAUGCUUCAGCUUCUGUGCUACUCAAGUUAGGGCACAACACAUCCUUUCAAGAAGAGUAUACCUGGCCUCAUAUACGGUGAACUUCUUGCUAAGAUAAUAAAUAGCCUGCUCAUUUUUGCUCAUGACAUCAUGUUAACCCAGGACACAACCGAAAGAAUUAUCCAUGACUGAUAAAUAUAAGAUCAAAGGCCUACCAGGCUCCGGUGGUACCAGCAUAGGCAGAUUUGACAAGUAUCUUUUGAUUAUAUCGAACGCUUCCUGACAUUCUUUAGUCCACUCUACCACAACACUCUUUUUCAGCAACUUGAAUAUGAGCUCAUAAGUGGUUGUGAGUUGAGCAAUAAACCUGCUGAUGUAGUUUAGUCUACCAAGUAAACUCAUCACCUCUGUCCUAUCCUUGGGCGGGGAAAAAUCCUGAAUGACUUUGAUUUUUGAGGGAUCCAAUUCAAUUCCCUGACGGCUAACUACAAACCCCAACAGAUUGUAAGAGGAUUCUAUAUUCAAUACUUGAAUCUCUAUGGCAAACUCAAUAGGCCCUAUAAUCAACAUUAGUUCUAUUUUGCCAAUGGAGUUUGAUUUUGCACCAUCGAAAGCCCUAACACAUACAUUAUUGGGCCUGAUCCUCUCAACACCAAUAUUCAACUUUUGCAAAGUAGAAAUAGGGCAGAUAUUUGCACUUGAACCUUCGUCAAUCAUAACAUGAGUGACGUAUAAAUCUUUGCACGUCACUUUAAUAUAAAGACCCCAAUUAUGCCCCGUACCUUCAACAGGUAAUUCAUCAUCAGAGAAGCUGAUCCAAUUGACUUCAAAGAUUUUUUCAACCAUUUUCUCAAGCUGAUUUACUGUAAUCUCCCUAGGAACAUUUGCUUAAUUUAAUACCUUUAAUAUAAUAUCACGAUGUUCCUUGGAAUGCAGCAAUAAUGAUAAGAGAGAAAUUUGAGCAGGGGUCUUCUUCAACUGAUUUAUUAUUGAAUACUCCAGCAAUUUUAUCUUUUUCAAUAAUUCUUUGGCUUCUUCUUUGGUGAAAGGCUUUUUGAUAGGUGAAGGUCCACUCACAAUUGGCUUGGACUUCCUUAAACUUUCAGGCAUGAAGCAUCUUCCUGACCGAGUAAAACCCUCUACCUCAUCGACAUCUUCCACUACUUCUUUUUCUUGAUAGGUCAUCACAGUCCACUUAUAGUUCCAGGGAACCUUUUAUGUAUCAAAUAUCGGAGGUUGGGUCACCGAUUUGAGAACAAUAGGCGCUACCAGUGCUCCUUACACCAUCAAGAUGGGCUUAAUCGGAGCUCUUACCACCGUCAACUUAGGUUUAUCCUGACUUAAAUCAACAUAUCCUUUGGUACCUUGCCCUGUGAUCAUCGGUUUCUUUGUGCUUUCUUGAAAUUUAUCUUCUCCCAUUCCUUCCUGGCUCAAUGACAUUGCUUUUCAAGACUCUGUUAUAUUUACCAAUUUUUCCUCAUUGGUCUGUAUCUUGACAAUAGGCUUAUAACACCUUGACGACUCCUUCCCAUCAUAUUAAUUCUAACAUAUUGGUUUCAGCAUGGGUUGGCAACGGAUUUUGGUUAAUGUUUGGAACCUCCGGGGCCUGGAUCAGCAUCUAAUUUAUGUCAAUUAAAUCUUGGACAAUUCUCUUUGCCAGCAUUUCUUGAUAUUGUGGCCUGGCAUGUUAGAACAGUACGCACACCUUUCAGAAUAAUUGAGAUUCCUCGGAGGUGGAUUUAUAAGUCUUCCUUGAAUUGGGCUUAAGACCUUCAUCUUUCUCAACCUAUCAAAUAAGCUAGCAUAUGAUUCCCCAAGAGGUGUAAACUAAUUUUUAACAGCCUUCUCUUUCUUGUACUUAGGCCUGGGUUGGAAACCGGGUCUGGAGGGGCUUUGGUAAUUUGGUGGAGCUAAUGGGCAAUUUUGUGGAGCUUACGGGCGCCAUUGCGGGUAAAAAAGGGUUUGGGCAUAUGGCUACAUACUAUAUACUGGGUACGGGGGUGGUGGAAUGGAAUAUAAUGGGUUUUGUGGAGGGUAGUAAUGGUGGGGAGGAAUAUAUAGAGCUUGGGCGCAGACUUGGGCUUGGGAUUGGGGAUAGGGGCGAGGCGGUCUUUUGGGAUAGGAAUGGGUUCCAGUUACAAUGGUCAUCAUGUUCUCUUUCUUCUUUUUACCUCUGAACGCGCCAGAUCCACCUUGAAUUGCUUGUGUGGUGGCUUUUAACGCGGCAAAAUUCAUUAUUCAGCCGGUAUUGAUUCCGUCCUCGAUUAUCUCUCCCAUUUUGAGGACUUUAAUAAAAGACUUACCCAUUGCCGGAAGUAAAUGUUGAAAAUAGGUCUCAUCCAGUGCCUGAAUAAAGACCUCUACCAGCUUACUCUCCUUUAUUGGAGGCUUUACCCUGACAUCCUAUUGACGCCACCUUAUCGCGUAUUCCCUAAAGCCUUCAGUGUUUUUCUUCUUCAUGUUAACCAAGGAUUUUUCAUCAGGAAUCAGGUCGACAUUAUACUGAAAAUGUUUUACAAACUCAGAAGCUAAGUCAUCCCAGUUGUUCCACUUGUUGAUAUCUUGAUCGACAAACCAUUCUGAAGCCAGAUUGAAAAGACUAUUGCCAAAGAAAUCCAUGAGCAACUCUCCUCUUCCCCCUACAACCAUCAAUUGGUUACAAUAACGUCUCAAGUGUGCCACGGGAUCACCAUGCCCAGCAUAUUUCUCGAACUUGGGCAUUUUAAAAUCGAGGGGAAGGUUGACAUCUGGGAACAUACAAAGAUCCUUGUAGGAAACACUCUUAUACCCUCCAAUCCCCUGUAAAUUCCUCAUGGCUUGUUCUAAACUCUUUAAUUUCUGCGCCAUGAGUUCUUGUUCCUCUAUUGCAACAGGAUUUUCAUUAUCAAAUUAAAAUACGUGUGGCUGAGUGUACCCAUACGGUUUAUUCAUCUUUAAAGUAGGUUCUAGGGCAUAAUACUGAUUAUCUAAAACCUUUAAUACUGGCUCACUAGCAGACCGAGGGAGUACCAUUGUCGGACACACAGUGUAGGCAGGAGCUUCAGGUGGUGGCGGAGCCACAAACACAGGCGUUGCCGGUGGCGCCGGCUGAGUUGCGGGCCUUGGUUGAGGAACUGCCAGGGGCACACUAGAAGUGCCAGGGUAAUAUUUUUGCGGAGUGAAUCCUGGCGCGUGCUACGGUGACUCAAUGGGAAUAGAGAAUUGUUCCUGAUAGAGCGGUGGGCAAUUGGGGAUAUUCCCAAGAUCUUCAGGGAGUGGAGGAGGAGGCAUGCUACUAGCCCAUGCUCGGUGAAGAUCUAGAAAUUGUUGUCUAAGUCUCAAUACCUUAUCAUUGCGUUCUAAACUUUCUUUCCUAGGAUCCUGAUCUGGGUCAAUGAGUGAAUUUUCAAUCUCCCUACUAGUCAUGGCAAACUUCUAUUUUGAUCUAGUGAAGUAUGGAUGACUAGCCAGAGUGCUACAAACCAACCACUUAUCUUCGAGAACAUACUCAUCAAAGAAAAAACCCGUUAGGAUUAGGCCACACAACAAGCAUGGGAAUCACAUUGGUAAAAUUGUCCUAGAUUCAUGUUCAUUUCUAACAGCCUUUGAGGGUAGCGAGGUCAUUUUAACAUCAUCCCGAUCUUUCUCUACACUUAAUUGCUUCUUUCAUCCAACCACACCUCUUUUAUUUUGUUUUUUCUUGCCCUCGCUUCUCUUUUCUUUCGCAUUAGUCUCUUUACUUCCUUUUCUUUCUCAUCAUCCUUUCUUCCUUUUCUUCUCUCGCUAUCUACCUUUGUUUUAUCAUUCUUUAUGGCUUUUACUUUUCUUUAAAAGAGGAAAAAUAAUGAAAAACAACAAAACAAAAUGAUUAGAUCAAACCCAAAAGUAGGUUGCCUACGUAUCAUGUUGUACAUGAAUAAGAUCUUGCGUAGUUCGGGUGGCGCAUGCAUAAAUAUCACAAAGUUGAAGAUUUUUUUUUACUUUUUUUUUUUGAAAAAUAGACAAAAGAAAGAACAAGGCAACGUCACAACAUUUCAUAAAAGAGACAACUAAAACAAACUUCGAAUUUAAGAAAACUUUAAAACUAAACAACGAAAGCUAAACAACACUCUAAACCCAUAUGACAACAUACGUACUGCUCCUAAUAAAGACUCCAAAGUUAAAGAAAACUUGACACCGACUUAACAAAGACACAAUACUACAAAUGGCAAAAAAGCAAAGGACUCAAACUAAACAAAAGAUAGGAAAUGCUUCUUCAAACUGGUGCUCUGCGUGUUGACCCUGGCUGAGAUGGACCUUGUUGUGAAGUUAUCUUUCUCCCAUUCAAACUAUGUAGCAUAUCUUGUAAGGACCCUUCGAUAUUUAGGAAUGCCUCUGGCACGUAUUCCUGCCUCAUGGGGAGUACACUUGAAAAAACUGUUCUGACACCCCUCCACAGUUUUGAGCAAACCUAAUAACUGAACUCUUAGUGUCUCCACUUUGGCCCCUGCACCUUCAUUCUGAUGGUCGUCAACUAUGCAUUCUUCUUGUAUUCUCCCUCUAAGUUGCACUGUUAAUGGUUGACUGAUACCCCGAGGUAUGGAUCGAAGCCAAACCCCAUAUCCCUGAGUGUACUCUGGAUUAUCCAAACCUACUUUGAGAGUAUCCACACCUAGCUUUAUUGCGUGAUUCCAGAACUGCUCGUAUUUGCUCUCACCUAAGGCUUGGUUCUUGAAGUACUCAACAUCCUUUGGAAGAUCCACUACUGGUGGCACAUCCUGCGGCCUACCCAACUGGCGCAUUACCCUAGAAGGACUGUAUGGUCUAGUGCAAUUGAGCCCUAACAUAACUAGAAGGAGCUGUAUCUGACAACCAAACAAGAUUAUCUUUGGUCGAAGCCACAGAUAAAUCCACAAAAUGUUAUCCUCGGUUCUUGACUCAAGAAAUUCAAUCCAAGCGUCGACUCCCAUGGGUAGCGAGAAUUUAUCAAUGCGCAACCUGAGGUACAUGGCUUUCACUCAAUUGGGAACACAACGAUCAACCACGUUUGGUCUAACUAAAGAAGGCGCAUGCAAAUGCUCCAUCAUCCACAACUGCAAUAUCAGGUUACUGCCCUAAAAAAAUCUUAUUCCCCCAUUCACUUCGGUUAAAUCCUUAUAUAUCUCUGUUAAGAUCAUGGGUAUGAUAGUGAACUUGUCCUUUUGGUUAAUGAACUUGUCCUUUUGAUUAGCGACCUUGUCCUUUUGAUCCUUACGAAAUAGAUCCAUCACCACAUAUUGCAAACGUGUAUUAAUGCGUCUUUCUUCUAGCAGAAACACUAGAGUGACUAACAGAGCGAGGGUAAAGACUUCAAGACUCUUUCUUUCCCACUUAUGCUUAGUCAUAUAAAAUUCAUCCCAAAAGUGGUCAAAACCUUCCAAGGACCCAAAUCUAGCGAAUAGAAAGUCUAAGGAAAUCCAUGAUUGAUUUAGACAACCCAAAUAUCCAUUGUUACUCUUUAAACCACGUCCUUGUAGAAACCUAUUGCCCGAGCGAUUCCAAGCUCGGAUCAUACUUUUGUCAAUAUAAGGAAAAUGAAGUAGGCCAGAUAAUUCUGCCAAAGUAGGCAUCAUUUCACACUUUCGAAACCUAAACACCAAAUUACUAGGAUCCCAAAAGGUCAACACAGCAUCUAUUAGAUCUGGACGGGGUGGGACAUGGAGAAGUUCUGUAAGAUCACCUAAUAUCUUAAUUAGCUCUUGCUUGUCAGCGUAGUUGAACAUGCCCCACCACUUGAUUAACUUUUUGGGCACUUUGGAAACCAUCAAGACUCUAGACCCUAUAGGCUUCAUCCUAUAAUAACAAGCCAAACUUACAACUCAAAAUUCAAAACAAGACAAAGAACUCCCGACCCUCGGGAUUUUAUCUUAGAAAAAUGUCGUGUGACAUGGAGGGACAGACCGGCAUAUAACUCAAAUCUACCGAACAGUACCGCCAAAUAAAAUCUGCCUACUUGGCAAGAAUCAAUUGACAACACUAGAUUACGAGGAGAAAAACCCUACUAAGAUGGAGGCAAAGACCAAAGUAAAAAGAUUACUGGACGCGCCGAGGGUUGCCCACGUAUCUCGCCUCGAGGGACGGGAAUCAGGUAUGCGUAGUUCGUCCAGAUUAGACAAUUAAGAACUAAAAUAAACUAAGUCUUGACCUGAGAGCCGGGAUUACAGAUGGACGAUGAAAAAUAAAAUCUUCUGGGUUUUUAAUAGACAUUUUACAUAAAAUGAUACCACUUAUGAAAUUAAAAUCUUUUUGGUGUUUUCGUACAAAAAUUUUUUCUUAUUGAGAAAAUAAGUACAAAAGGUAAAAGUUUUUUAUUCUAAGUUUUUGGGAUUGUGAAAAACAAAAGCCAUAAAGAACUCUAAAAACUAUAACACUCUUUUUUCUUUUUUUCUUCUUUUUUUUUCUUUUUUUAUUUUUUGUUCAUUACCCACACACUUUACUUCUAACACAUGUUUUCCCCAAAUCAGUCCGUCAAAUGACCACGUUACCCUCAAAGAUGCAACACUUAGCACGUUGGGAUGCUUUAGAGGUGAGUCUCCUAUGAAGGACAAGUGGGCCCCACUAAGUCUCGACAUGAUUCACAUAAGCAUGACCUAAAGGCUGACCUAUGCUGGGGUUCACUAACAAGGCUGUUCGGGGGAGCGUAUGGUCGAUAGUGGCUGCGAUAGUUUUCCACCUACUCCAUACAACCCAACGGCUCCUUCAUCCUAAAAUAAGGGUGACUCAACUAUAGGUCGUGUACACACAUGUACUACAACUUGUUGCAUAAAGAAUGACUCGGGUUAUGCACAUGAUGCCAGAUAUAAAACAGUAACACAUAAAAAUAAAACUGUAAACAAAGAGCACGUAAGCACUUACCAAUGAUAAACAAUAACACAAAACAACACAAACAAAAUGUCUAUACACCUAUAAUACCAAACUAAGCCGAUACAACUCCAAAAUAAGCUCGAAUUCUAAAAAUUCUCCAGCAGAGUUGCCAGAGUUGUCACACCCCUCCAUAUUUAUACAUGAUAGUUUUUAAAUACGAGCACAAUUAUCCAUCCAUAUCAUCAUCGAUUUCAUGCUAACAACUACUUAUUCAGAUAAGACAGCACCAAUCACAAAAAAAUGUCCAAUUAGCAAACAAUACACUACCACAACAUCUACCUACCAAAUAUCAUAACAAGAAAAUCAAAAGGUAAGGAUUAGAAAUGGACCUUUGAAGAAACGAGUCGUGAUAAUAAUAUUAAAGAAGCCCAAAUUCAAAACCUCGAACAAAGAAAAACCUCUGAAAUCCAACUCAAUAUUGAGGAAUUUGUAAUCUAAAAUUGAGCUAGAUUAAUAAGGUAAAAUGAACAAGAAAACCAAAUUCUGAACCCAGUAAUAAAUGCGGACGAAUCUGAGAUAAUCAAAUCACAAUAGAACCCACCAACCCGAGCGUUUCCUAGCUUAAUCUUCUUGGAAAUAAAAAGGAAACUAAGGAAUUUCAAGCUUUCGAAGACUGGAAACAGCUGAACGAUGAACCAACGGUCAAUUUCAUGAAAAGUUUCGCUGGAGAAGCUCAAAACGGGGGUUGAAUCUCACCGGAAGACUUAAACCAAAACCAAAUUUCUUACCCAUUCUCCCUCAUCUCUCGAUCUCAAAUCUCUCUCUCUCUUUCCAAUCUCUCACUCUUCCAUGGCGCUUUUUCUCGUGUAGCUCUGUGUGUGUUGUUCGUUUCGUCGAGUGAAAGGAAAAAAUGGGGGUAAUUGUCUCUCCCCCUUUUAGUGGCUCCCUUUCUAUUCCAGUGGAUUUGUUUGUGUGUCUGUAUCCAUGGAAACCAACAAAACAAAUGGAGGAGCUCUCUAUGUGUUACUUUGUUUCUCUCUAUUCAUAAAAGAAAAAUGGAGUGGUUGUGCUCUAGUGAGAUCCGUGUAUGGAAUUUUUGGAGAAGAAGAUCCUCUCCCCUUUGUAUCCCUAUGCGCGUGUAUAUAUUUUUGUAGGUGGUGUAUGGGACACGUGAGUGGGGUGAGGGGUAGGGUAGUGAGGUGGUUUAAUUUGAUUGGGUAGGUUGUUAGGAUAAGAUAAAAUUAGUUAGAGGUGAUUGUUUUGUUAUUUGGUGGAGGGAUUAUCACACAGGUGAGGGUGCGUAGUAAAAUGUGAGCUAAAAAUGAAUAAAAUUGGACUUCGAAGGGACAAAAUUAUGUGUCUACAAUACUGAUUUCUUUUAAUUAAUGGUGUGGACUUCUAAUAAAAGACCACGUGGCAAAGCUAUUUUUAAAAAUCCAUCAUUAAAAAGUAAUGACAUGAGUGAUUUGAUUUUAUAACGUUGAUGGCAUGAAUGAGCCAAAUUUUUAAUUGAUGGCAUAAAUGAGUCAUUUCUGAUAGUUCAAUGACAUAUUUGAACCUUUUUGCUUAUUUUAAUUAAUAACGUGAACCUCUAAUAAAAUUCCACGUUGCAAAGUUGUUUUUGAAAACCACCAUUAAAAAGUAAUGGCAUGGAUGAGUUGGUUUUGUAAUGGCAAUGGCAUGAAUGAGCUCAACUUUUAACUGAUGACAUAAAUGAGCCAUUUUUAAUAGUUUAGUGGCAUAUUUUAGCCUUUUGUCUUCCAUUCAUUAGUAAUCCAAUCACACUUUUGACUUUCAUUAGUCAUUACACAUGCAUGCAGUUGAAUAUGCUAAGAAGUUUCCUAAGAUUUCCCAAAACUUCCAAAUAUGAAUCUGCAGAACAUGUAUGUGUACUAUAAUAUGCAUGUGUUACAUUGUACAUGUAUCUUCUUUUGAACAUUCCAUGAAACCAACCAUCUCUAUUCUUUAAGUGUGCACUGGAUAAAUCUGUUCAUAUAUAAUAGCUCAUAAAUCACAUAAAAAAUAUAAAUCGCGCUAGACAAGUUAGGUACGAUGAGCUCUACUGAGAAGGUAAUGGGCGAGGUGGGAACGAGAUCCUCUCACGUCCAUUUUGAUACCACACCCGUUGCUCCAACUCAAUCGACUAAGCCGAUGAGAAAUUAGCAGGGGCAGACCUACGUUAUAUUUUGAGGUGCUCCGACACCCACUAAACUCGACGCGGAAUAAGUAUAAUUACAUAGAAAAUAUAUGAAAAUAGGUAUAAAACAUAUAAAAGCACCCAUUAUAACAAAAAAUUGGUUGGAUGCAUUGGCAUUUGAGUUGAUCUUAAGGUCCUUCAUUGGAAGGAGGUCCUAGGUUUGAAUCUUAUUGAGGUUAUUUCUUUUAAGAAAAUUUUUAAGCAGCCACUAUCCUUGAAUCCUGAGUUCGCCACUGAAAAUUACGACCAUCUUACAUGUAACAUUCCUAUUAAUUCAUGAUAUUUUAGACCCAAUUUAACCUAUGAUUCUCGUGAUUCCUUCUUGUACAAUCUCGAGUACAACUCUAAGAUAUUUCCUUUUUUGGUAAAUACGACUUGUUCAUAUAUUACCAUAAGGAAUGAUGUAAUCUCGUGAAUUUAUGAUUUAAAUUUUAUGAGUUCUUUUGGGAUUCAUUUAACUUAUUGAAUUUGAAGUUACUUAUUUGUAUUUAUUCAUUCUUAAGUAGUAUUUUCCUCUACUCGAUUUAAAUGUCUUACUUAUUAUUAUUAUUAUUAUUAUUAUUAUUAUUGUUGUUGUUGUUGUUUUUGUUGUUGUUGUUGUUGUUGUUGUUGUUGUUGUUGUUGUUGUUAUUAUUAUUAUUAUUAUUUUGCAAUUUGGAGUCAUUGAGUAUGUAAUGAAUUAAAAUCCAUUGCGUAAGCAGUAGAACGUGAAUGCUCUUUCAGAAUUUAUGCAAUUAAUUAUAUUUUGAUUUAAGCCUCGUGAUGAGUUUCAAAAUACUUGACUAGAAAAUAUCCAUUCAACUCAUGAGUACGAAUACGAAAAUAAAAACGUGGAAAACAAAUUCAUCAACAUAAAAGUGCCCCUUGUACUUAAAAGUUAAAAUAUAAGAUAUUUUUUUCUUUUAUAGCUACUUAAUGAUAACCAUGAAAUUGAAACAAAAUAAUAAAUUUCUCUUAAUUUGUUAAAGUAGUAUUUUGGUGCAAUAUACGAAUACCAUAUUUAAAUGUGAGAUAGGAAAAACAAUUCAAUCCUAUUUAGAUUCGAUAACUAGCGUAAUUGAUUAGUGAAAAGUAUAACAAUAACAUAUUCUAUUGAAUUUCACAAGUGGGGUCUAAAAAAAAUAUGUAGGACGUAUGAAAAUUUUAUCAUCUCUAUCUUUGAUCUUUGACUCACUAGAAAAGUAUCCACUGCAGAAUUGCAAUAAGGAUAGCUUCGAUAAUAAAACUGAUCAUCAAGAGAGGUAUAAUUAUUCAAAUUCAAACUUUAUUUUAAUUUCUUCACAAGUAUAUUACCUUUUUGGCUUUGAAACUUUCUCUAUAUUGUCAAAAAAGUUAAUUUUCAAGAGUCAAUUCAAACAUUCUAAUUAUGUAGAAUAUAUCAAUUUAAACUUCACCUUAAUUACUUCUUUAGCACCUCUCUAUACAUAUACAUGUCCUGUCUAAAUGAAAUCAUUGCAUAAAAUAUCUCAACAAAAAUCUCUCUCCAAACCUAUAUACCAAUCAUUAUAUCAAGAAGCUAUAAUUCGUUGAGAACUUAGUUAACUGCUUUUAUAGAGAAGGUAACAUUAUACUUGUCCUCGAGCAUCUUAUUGGAUUGAUUAUAAGUUGCAAAAUUAGCCAAAAAAUGUUGAUUUCAAUUGAAUCAUUAGCCAUGGUUGGAGGUGAUUCUAUUAAAGAUGAAAUUAGCAUGGAAGAAUAUGAAGAAAAUGAAGCACUAGUGCCUCCCCAUUUGUUAGUUGAUGAUGAUCAAGAAGAAGAAAAUUUCUUCGCAAUGAAAAAAAAUAUUCAUCAAGAAAAUUAUGAAUAUUAUUCUUUUUGUGAAAAAAGAUGAAGUGGAGCAGAAGAAGACUUCAAUAAUUAGAAAAAAUGUUUUUGGGGAAUUCUUGAAAAAGAAGAAUGUAACAAAUUUUUUGAAAUUCGUAGGAAUAAUCAUUGUAUAAAUGUUGUUGUAACUGUUCUUUUUUGGGAAAAAAAUAAUUCAUUUAUUAUCUAUUUUUGUUUCACAAUUUCAGCAUUAUUUGUUGUAUGUAAUUACAACCUCCUUAUUGUUAAUCACUGUAUGAAAAAUUCAUGUAUAAUUAAUUAGCCCAUCGACUUAUUCAUGUUAGUUGAAGGGAUCCUUAACGAGAGGUAUUGGAUUCAGAUCCUUGAUACAUAAUUUUCUUUGUUACGAAACGCUUUACUCAUAAUAUAUAAUAUGGGACCUUCUUGAUUUUUAUUUAAAUCCCAAAGAGAAUAUUGAAUAUCAAACAUAAGGAAAUAAUUAAAAGUUUCCAAAUAUCAUAUAAUAAUGAACUAAGCCAUAUAAUUAUAUCAUACUACCAUUUAUUGAUUAGGUUUUUCUUAAUAUGAUUGUAGGUUUUUUUUUCUCCCAGAUGAAGCAGCAGGCAUCGAUCUGUAGAACCUAUAAAAAAGAGAAUAGAGAUGUCUAACUCAUAACAGAAUUUUUCAAUUCUAUACAGAUUUCAUUUCCCCUGUCUUUCCUAAACCUUCUAGAACCUUAUUUCUCUUCUCCAUAGCUAAGAUUUCUUAACAUGGUAUCAGAUACAGGUUGUGGUGAUUCCUUAUCUCAGCAUGGAAGAGAAUCUACUGGUGAUUUCCUCUAUCUCACAUCGGUUGCAAUUGCAAUUGCGAUUGCUGUUUCUCAGUAGAUUUCUACUAGUUAAAUCUUUAGCAGUUUUUCUCCAUGGCUACUGAAAGUGAAACUUCUGCAUCUGCUUCACAUGGUCAAUAUUCAGAAGAAAUUCAUCCUAGUCACCCUUUGUACAUUCAUACCUCGGAUACUCAAGGUUCGAUUUUAACCUCUAUUCAACUUCAAGAAUCUGAGAAUUAUGCUCUCUGGAGUCAAUCUAUGUGGAUUGUACUGCUAGGCCAUAAUAAAUUAAGGUUUAUUCUAGGUACUUAUAAGAAAACAUGUAUAAUCCUAGUUUGCAUGAUCUCUGGGAAUGUUGCUAUGCUAUAGUUUUGACUUGGAUGAUGAAUACAAUGUCAAAGGUCUUGAUUAGUACAAUGAUAUAUGGAUCCGAUGCUUAUCAGGUGUGGGAGGAUCUUAGGGAGCGUUUUUACAAGGUGAAUGCUCUAGAGCCUUUUUUUUCACAAGGAAAUUGCAACCCUAACACAGGGCACUGAUUCAGUCUUCGUUUACUUUUCUAAGCUUAGAGAACUUUGGGAUGAAUUUCAGUCUUUAGUUCCUCCUCCUAGCUGCUCAUGUCCUGAAUCUAAGACCUAUAUAGAGCAUUUUCAUCUACAUAAAUUGUGGCAGUUUCUUAUGGGACUAAAUGAGUCAUACAAAUAUGCUAAGAGUCAAGUUUUGAUGACUUAUCCUCUGCCUAAUGUGAAUCAAGCUUAUGUUAUGAUUAUUAACAUUGAGAGUCAAAGGAGGAAGAUAAGUGGUGAUACUAUUGAGUCCACUGCUCUCAUGAAUAAUAGGCAUCCUCAGGGUCUGCUAUGUUUUCUCAGAAUACCAACCAGUAUGCUGGGUAUCAUGGGUAUCAGGUUCCUCAGAAUCACACAAGCUAUGGUUAUAAACCUAGAAUAUCCAGUUUUGACAAUGCUUAUUUAUUUUGUGACUUUAGAAAAUUCAAAUAUCAUACCAAGGAUACCUGCUAUAAACUCCAUGGCUAUCCUACCAAAUUCAAGUUCAAGAAGAGAGGAGGAUCCUUACAAACCUGUGCUAACAGUGUUGUGAAUUCAGGAUUUCUCUCUACUAAUAAGCAGGUGUACUCAUAUUUUCAUCUCCAUUUUCUUCUCCUUAUUCAGGUACUGGAGUCUCUACUCCAUAAGGAUCUGGCAACUUCUUCACCCAGGAGAACUAUGCUCAAAUCAUGCACAUGCUAAAAGGGAAAGAAACUGAAUCUGUUGCUAAUACAGUCAAGCUGAGCACAACAACCAGUUCUUCUGGAGGCACCUCUGAUUCUACUACAACUACAGGUAUAAAUACUGCUUUUUUGUCAAGAAUAGUUGAAGAAAAUUGGGUGGUGAAUACCAAUGUAUCUAAUCAUAUGGUGUAUAAUGUUAAUCUACUUAAGAAUCUUAAAGAGUUGCAUAUGCAAGAUAAAUUUCAUCUACCAAAUGGUGAUCAGGUUGUUAUUAGACAUAGAGCUGAUGCCUCUAUUUUAAACGCUAAGACAUUGCAACAUGUCUUAUACAUUCCAGAUUUCAAAUAUAAUUUGAUGUCUGUGUCAAAAGUUACCAAGGACUUGCAGAACAUCCUUCGUGUAUAAAAUUCUUCAGCGCAUUCCCCGAUGAAUAAAUACAAAUGUCCUCAGGGCAUUCCCCGACUAAAUAAAUACAUUUAUUUUUCAAAUGCGAGAAAAACCGAAUCAUUCAACUACCAUUUCAGCAUACAACAAUCCACAGGUUCUAACUUUUGUCUACCCAACCUAAUAUUUGCCAAUUCAUUCUCGACUUAAGACAUAAUACUAUCGAGUUCGAUACGAUGAACAAUUAUUCCAAAAAAACCAUCAAUGAAUUAAACACAAACCAAGAAUAUUCACUUUUUGUCAAUUUUUAAUCCUUUUCCCAAGUUGAUGAUUAAAUAUUCUAUCCAUUAGCCAAUAAAUUUCACCUAAUUCAACGUGUACGUCAAUUAGAAUAACUAAUUCAACAACAUCAAACCAUAUAUUCAAUCAACCAAUAAACAUCAAUCACCACGUAGUUCACCAACAUAUUUGCAAAAUCAAAAUGAGAUAUUGACCUCAAUCGAGUUUUUAGUAUGCUGAAUUACAGAUCGAAGGAUGGAGAUUCGCCACCGGACCUCGAUCGAAGAACCUCAACUAUGACCCAAUGCGACCCCAAACAAUCUCGCACCACUCGACGUCACAAAAAGAAAAUCUAAACCUAAUUUGAAUAUUUUUUCACUAGAAUCUAGGAUAGAGGAGAACAAUGUUGUUUUUGGCAUUUCCCCGAUAGGUUUGGGGUCGAAACAGUAGCCACGGGUCAAUUCCGGCGAUGAUUUCACCAGAAAAAUAGACCAACGCCCUUUUUCACUCUCCCCGUUCAAACCUAUCCAGUUGUUCUCUCCCUUGUUCACCCUCUCUGAUUUUCUCUAAUAUCUCUCGAUCUCUCCCUCUCACUGUGUUUGUGUUUGUGAUCUUUCCCAAAAUCAGUGAGGAGUGUGUGUGUAUAGUGUGCAGAAGAGGAAAAUGGAUAAUUGUUUUUCUUCCCCCUGUAUGUGCGUGAAUAUAUAUCUAUAUAUGGAAAGAAAAUGGUGCCCCCUCUUGGUUAUUGUGGGCCCUUUUGAAUAUACUCCCAUUUCCUGGAAAGUUCCCUGAGUGCUUAUGUGAGAAAAAAAAUGUGAAUAUGAUGGGGUGAGGGGGUACGGGUAGGUGGGUAUUGGGGUGGUGAUGUGGAUAAAAGUUGUUAAAAGUUUGUUAGAGAGGUGCGUUAAUUAGUUAUCACAAGAAUAUUUGGAUUACGUUGGUUGGGGAUUUAUUAUUUUUGUAUUUUUGUGGGAUAUAAUCAUAUGGGUGAGGGUACGUGGUAAGGAGAGAUUAAAAAUGGUAAAAAUGGUUUCGGAGAGAGACAAAAUUACGUGUCUACAUCAUGCCCCUCUUUGCAUGUAAACACAAAGUGUUUUCAUACAAAGAAGUAAACAACUGGACAGAAUUUUAUCCCGAUCAUCAUUCGACGGAAGAAGGACAAUCGAACCUUGACUUAGGACAUCCUACCUACCCAAAUUAUGAGGAAUUCAAGUCUCAGGUAUCUUAAAGGAUUGGAAGGAGAUGGACAAUACCGAGUUGGAGAGUCGAGUGAGGUACCUUCGAGGCUUCGAUCCGUGGCUCUAUCAUUACAUCAAAAAUAAAAAUUACAAGUUAAAAACAUAAAUGAAAUUACAAAAUCCUAUCUAUACAACUUCACUGGACUCUUCAGGCGGAUUCCUGACUUGCUAUUUUUCAAUCUGUUGACUUUCAAUUUCUUUGCCUUGUUUCUUGACUUUUAAAUUCUUCACCAAGUUGCUUGACUUUUCAUUUAUUCACCCUGUUCUUCAGGCGGGCUCCAAUGUUGCUUGAAUUAUCAAAACAAGGAAGUGUGUCUCCUUUGGAAGUGGUCUUCUUAUGAUACCGCUUGAAUUACCAAAUAAGGAAAUGUGUCUCCUCACAAAUGUCGCUUGAAUUAUCAAAACAAGGAACUGUGUAUCCUAACAAAUGUUCCUUGAAUUACCUAAAUAAGAAAAUACGUCUCCUUACCAAUGCCGCUUGAAUGAAACAAACAAAGAAGUGCGUCUCCUCAUAAAUACCGCUUGAAUUAUCUAAAUAAGGAAAUGUGUCUCCUCACCAAUGUUGCUUGAAUGAAAUAAACAAGGAAGUGCGUCUCCUCAUUAAUGCUGCUUGAAUUAUCUAAAUAAGGAAGUAUGUCUCCUCACCAAUGUUGCUUGAAUGAAACAAACAAGGAAGUGCAUCUCCUCAUAAGUGCCGCUUGAAUUAUUCAAACAAGGAAGUGCGUUUCCUUACAAAUAUUGCUUAAAUUACCCAAAUAAGGAAGUACGUCACCUAACAAAUGUUGCUGGAAUUACCCAAACAAGAAAGUGCGUCUCCUUACCAAUGCCGCUUGAAUUACCAAAUAAGGAAGUGCGUCUCCUUAUAAAUGUUGUUUGAAUUACCAAACAAGGAAGUGCAUCUCCUUACAAAUACCGCUUGAAUUACCAAAUAAGAAGUGUGUCUCCUAACAAAUAUCUCUUGAAUUACUCAAACAAGGAAGUGCGUCUCCUUAUAAAUGUUUCUUGAAUUAACCAAACAAGGAAAUGCAUCUCCUUACAAAUGUUUCAUGAAUUAACCAAACAAGGAAGUGCUUCUCCUUACCAACACCACUUGAAUUAUCAAACAAGGAAGUGCGUCUUCUUACAAAUGUCUCUUGAAUUAUCCAAACAAGGAAGUGUGUCUCCUAGAGUUAUUGGAUGAUGAGUUUUACCAUGGUUUUGAUUACCAAACCUGUGCAACAAUAUUGUCUCCUGUAUUUGUUGAAGUGCGGCAUAGCAACUUUUGAUGUUUAGGCUUUGAAAUCCUUGAUUCGAAGGUAACCUGUGUUCCUAUUUCAUACAAAGAAAACUUGUUAGUUUAAAAAAUAUGGUGGCUAGUUUGUGGCUUUGGCUUUCAUGUAAAUCGCUCUUGCCCCUGUCACAUUUAAUCUUGCUUUCAACCAUUAGCAUGUAUCACUGACUUGUUGCAUCAUUGAUCCGAACUCAGAUUAUUAAGAGUGACUCUGAAACAAACAAGUAUUUCUACUUUGCCAUGCUUCUCAGAUAAACCCUUUGAACCUUGAUAUUUCCAUAAGUUUCCAUACUUGUCUGUUGACAAAACUUUCUGCAUGCCGUAUUUCGGCUCACAAUCAUGUCUCUUUCAUGUAUUGGCCUUUUGUCUUGCUUUGUGCAAUUGAAGAAGCUGGUAGCCAGUUUUAAAAUCUUUUCUCACUUGUUUUGACAUGAACUUGACUCAACGACAAUAGAAAAAUGACAGUGAUUUUUAUUUGAAUAACUGACUCAAGAAAGAUAAAACAAAAAUAAAGAGAAGAAAGAAAAGACAAUGAAUGUUCCCAUUUGAAACAAAGAAACAAAAAUUUAUCUAAAAAUGGCAGCCAACUUUAAUAAUUAUGUCAUGCAUUUUGGAUCAGGCUGCCUGAUCUUUCCAUCCAAACUUUCUACCAAUUGUUUUUGAGUUAAUGGCCUUGAAACUGAGUUGUUUCCUUAGGUUAAUUGCAUUUAAGAUCUCAUUAGGCUAGUGACACCUUGAAGGGUUUUUGCCAACAAGCCUCUCUCAUUUUUCUCUCAACUCACUAUCGCCUUAUGGUGCCCGCGAGGGUUUUUACCAAUAAGACUCUCUCAUUUUUAUUUCUCUCCUAAUUUCUUAUGUUGAGAAAGAAGAGUAGUUCCUAAAAUGUGUCAUCACAUUCAUUGCAUGCUUAGUCUUAACAUUCUCAAAGAUUGAUCUGAAGGUCUUUCUUUGGUUGUAGCUUGUCUUUUGGAUAAGAUUAGAAGAAAAGGAUGACAUGAGGCCCAAACAACACUUGAAGUGGGAUAGGACUUACAACUUUUAGAAUCGACUCAAACAAUGAGGAUUAAAUCAUGCCCCAGUUUCUUUUGACUGGCAAUUCUAAAAUUGUUUAUUUGGUUGGACCAAGCCCUUAGUAGGGCAGCCUACGUAUCUCACCCCCGAGAGAGGAGAAUCAGGUCAUGUGUAGUUCUGGCAGCUUGCUUUGCUUGAUUCUAAUUUCUUUUUCUUCUAUGUUUCUUUUAUUGACUCUUUCUCUUUGGGAAUUUUCUGACUCUAUUUUUCUUGACACUUAUUUUUCUCUUUUUGGACACAUUUUUUCUCUCUCUUUUUUUUGGAAACUUUCUGACUCUAUUCUUUUACUCGACACUUUUCUUUUAAAUUUUGCUGACUCUAUCUUGAUUCCAAAAAAAGGUAUGAAACAAAAUAGGACUAAAUCUCAAAUGGCGUAAACAAAGGAUGAUACAAUGUUUGGAUAACAGAAUAAAAUGUCUUCGUCAUAUCUAUCCUUGAAAAUACUAGUACAUAGUAUGCAAGUGAAAGUGAAAGAUGAAGAUCAUUGUGACAUCUCUUACAACAAUAACUUUGACUGAGUCUGUGCGUCACUACUUCUUCCGCAAACUCCACCUUUGUUUUACAUUCUUCACAUUGAAUGACUCAUGCUUUCGUGGAGUUGAUUUUUUUUCCUUUUGAUGUAGGACCACACAUUCACUAUUUGACCUAAUUGGGAUAUGUCUUUCGAUUGAUGACCAAGUUAUUCUUGUGAUUCUUAAAGUAAAUGUCUUAAUUUUUCAAAGAAGGCUUCAACUUGAUCACCAAACGCCUCAGCACUCUGCCUACUUUCUCAAAUGCUCUCUUUUCCUAACUUUAACUCUCUGAUUCAAUGUUCAUGCUUAAACUGAAUUUUAAGAUCUGGCAGAAAAUUUCGUUAGCAUGUCAUAUCAUUAGAGUCAACAUAAAAUGUAAUGUGGAAAGAAAACAAACAAAAACAUAUUUAAAACACAAAGGAAAAAGGGACACUUCAUUUAAUUAAAAUAAAAGAAAAAAGGGUUUGAACAUAGCGACAAAUGGAUAAAACAAGAUAGAUCCUGAACUACAACCCUGAAAUAAUUCGGAUAAUAGAAAAUAAAAUAAAACAAACUACCAGACCUCUUCCUAGUAGGGAGAGAGGUGACUUUUCAAUUUCUCAACCUGAUAUCUUAGCCACUAGUUUGCAUAUCAGCUUGACUAGAGCUUUCCUCGCUGUCAAUGUGCUGCACCAUAAUCGAUUUAUCUUGAAUCAUCUUUUCUAUUUCUCUUUUCAAGGCACGACAAUCUUCAAUACUGUGACCCUGAACAUUAGAAUGAUAUGCACAUUGUACAUUAGGAUCAAAAUUUCUUAAAUGUGGGUCAGGAGUAUACCCAAGGAGAGCAGUGAUCAUGCCUCGUUGUACCAAUCUCUGAAAUAAACUGGCAUAUGACUCUCCUAUUGGUGUGAAACUAUCCCUCAAAUUCUGUCUCAUUUCAUUAUUUGGCUUAAAUUAAAAACCAGGCCUAGAAGGGCUUCGGUAUGUAUGUAGAGUUGAAGGAUGACUCAACAGUGUUGAUGCACGCCGGUGUGGGUAAGAUAGGGUUUGAACAUAUGGUUGCGCAUUAUACACUUGAUAUGGAAGUGGGGGAAUAGAAUAUAAUGGAUUUUGGGAAAGAUUCUGUAGAGCUUGGGCAUAAACUUAGGUUUGAGCCUGUGGGUAACGAUGGUGUGGUCCUCUUGCCUGUGUCUGUUGUCCAACUACAAUGGCAGAUGCAUCUUCCUCAUUCUUCUUUUCUCCAACACUUCCCAGACCUUUUUGAAUUACUUGAGUAGUCCCUUUCAAUGUUGCAAAACUCAUAAUGCGACCGAUCUUAAUUCCAUCCUCUAUCAUCUCCCCCAUUUUGAGGACCUCAAUAAAUGGCUUACCUAAUGUAGGUAACAAGUGUUGAUAAUAUGUUUCAUCCUGCGCUAGAAUAAAUGCCUCUACUAUCUUACUUUAUUUCAUUGCAGUUUCACCCUAGCAGCUUGUUCACACCAUCUAAUCGCAUACUCUCUGAAAGUUUCAGUACUCUUUUUCUUCCUAUUAGUUAGGGAUUUCUCUUCAAGAAUCAACUCUAUAUUGUAUUGAAAUUGUUGCACAAAUUCAUUAUCCAGGUCGUCCCAGCUAUUCCACUUGUCGAUGUCUUGGUCAACAAAUCAUUCUGAAGCUAGACCUAAAAGACUCUCACCGAAAUAUGUCAUGAGUAAUUCUUCCUUCCCUCCAGCGUCUCUUAGCUGGUUGCAAUAGCGUCUCAAAUGUGCUACAGGAUCGCCAUGUUCAUCAUACUUUUCAACCUUCGACAUUUUAAAACCAAGAGGAAGAUGUAUACUUGGAAACAUGCACAGAUCUUUAUAUGACACUUUUGUACCCCCCAAGUCCUUGCAAGUUUUUCAUAGUCAGUUGCAAACUUCUCAAUUUUCUAGCCAUUCCCUCUUGUUCUUCUAUCAUAACAAGCUUCUCAGUGUUAGGAGAAAAUUCAGGCGGUUGAGUGUAGUCGUAAGGACCAGUCGACUUAAAUGUGGGCUCGGGAGCAUAAUGUUGAUAACUAAAAAUAUUCAAUACAAGGUUUCUUGUAGAGUGAGGAAUCACAACCGUUGGAUUGACAUUAAAAGCAGGAGCUUCAGACGGGAGUGGGGCUGCAAAAGCAUGAAUAGAAGUCAGAGUCGAGCACGUGGUAAUUUUGAUAAAUCAAAUUCAGCAAUCAUUUCAAUUAGACUUAAGAAAAUUUCAUUAUCCUCUUGAUAAAUCUUUUCAUUUUUUCUCCUAAAUGCCAAAUUAUUUUUUUAGAGAGUUUUUAUUACAGCAAUAAUUCUUGAUAAUACAUUUUUCCAGUGUUCUCUAUCCCUAUUGAUUUGAUCUUGAACAUCAUUAUCAAUUGUUUUACUUUUCUUCAACCUUAUUUCCAAGUCACUCCAUGCACUUAUAUUAAUAAUAUGUUCGUUUGAUAUCUCAUGAGCUUUAAGCUUAGCACUAAGAUUUCUCCAAUAUUUACUACUUUCACUUGCUAGUUUACUAUUACUAAUAUUAGAAUUUUUAUUAAACAACUUGCAACAAAAACAAAAUACUUUAUCCAAAUCUCUAGAAUAAAUUAACCAUUUUCUUUCAUGUCUUUCUCCAUUUGCUAAAAUUUGAAAAUAAUGGACAUUAGAAAAAUGUCUUGACAAUUUAUCAUUUGAAAAAUUUAUAUCACUAAUUCUAAUUGGUCUUUUUUUCACUAGUAAGUCUCUCAAUUUUGUAUCGAUAUUGAUCCAUUGACUAGGAUCAUAUAUAUUUUUAUAAAUACAAUUAUUUGAUUCAUUAAGUUCUUCAUUUUCUUGAGGAUCUAUAUUAGAUUUCUCGCUAAUUUUCUCCUCCUCUUUUCGAAUAGUAUUACUCCUAUCAUCAAAUUCAACUGAAUCAAUAACUUGCUCAUCUUGAAAACAUUAUCCUAUAUUUUUUAAUUCUAUUUUUUUAUUAUUUAUUAAAAAUAUAUCUAGAGCUCCUUUUUGAGAUUCUACCAAAAUAUCAAUUCUUUUUUUUAAGUUUUGAAGCAUCAAAUUCAUAUUUUCUAGUUAACAUAUUAAAAUUUUAAUAAAUAGUAAAUGUGUAGUUUAUAUCUACUAAUCCAGACAAUUAAAAAAAAUCAAUAAAUAACAAAUAUGUCUACCAAAUAUCAAUAUGUGCAUGCACAAUUAUUUAACAGAAUACUACUACUACUACUACUACUACUACUACUAAUAAUAAUAAUAAUAAUAAUAAUAAUAAAACUAAAAUAAUAGAACUUGACAGGGGAAGAUGUAGAGUAUAAGUUGCGGGUUCCUGGGAACCAGUAACUUUCGUACGGUUCUUGAAUUUAUAUUGAAAAAACUAGUAAAUAUAUAAGAAUUAUAAGUUGGGAAUCCACAAACAUAGUGUGUUAUUUGGUCUAGUGGUAAAAAUUGUAAAUUAGGAACCCACAACCUUUAAAUUCUAGAUCCGCCUCUAGAACCUGAUCUAAUAACGAUCUGAAAACAAUAACUCUAAUCUUUAUAAACUAUCAGCAAUCUUGAUAUUCAAGAAAAAAUUGAAUCAAUAAUAAUAUUAUGAAAAGAAAUUUCUUGAACAAUUGAAGUUUUGAUAGUAUAAGAAUUUAAAGAAAAUAAAAAAUGAAGGUAAAUAAAGAGGAAAAAAUAUGUACGUUAUUUACAUCUUCCAAUAAAAGGAAAAUGAAAGGUCUAAUUUAAAAGAUAAAAAAAGAAAGUACUAAAUUUUUACCUUUUUAAAGGCUAGGCAAAUCAAUUUCUUCAUAAAUGUAUUUGCCUUUUCAAAGUUGUACUACCAUUUAUUUUAAAAGAAAAAAAAACAUCUCAAGGCAGAUCAAUAUUUUGCCUUUGGCAGUAAUUGAUUUGACAAGUGGGCCAUUUAUUCUUUCAAACUUUUUGUCAACAAUUGACAGCAUACAUAAAUAAAUACAUAUACAUUUUUUUUUAAAUGAUGUAAAGUGGGGCCCCCAAAAUUGGGGGCCUAAAGCAUGGGCUUGGGCUGCUUGACCCAAAGGUCGGGCCUGCUCUUUUGAAGCUAUCAGAAGAUCUACUAGACAUAUCAGACCUCCUGCUUGGAUGGCAGAUUAUGUAGUGCCUGCUAAGACUAGCUUGUGUGCUUAUCCCUUAGCAAAUUAUGUCUCUUAUGAGAAGGUAACUCCUUAUUAUGGAGAUGCUUUGAAUGCUUUCUCAUUGUUGAACCAUCUACUUUUGCUGAAGCAAGCACAGAUCCUUUAUGGAUAGCUGCUAUAUAUCAAGAACUAACUACCUUAGAAGAAAACAAGACUUGGUCAUUGGUUACUUUACCCCCUGAUAAGAAGCCUAUUGGAUGCAAAUGGGCAUUUAAAGUAAAGUAUAGAGCUUUCGGAGAGGUUGACAGGUAUAAGGCCAGGCUGGUUACAAAGGGAUACAGUUAACAAGAAGGCCUAAACUACUCUAAAACCUUCUCACAGUCGCUAAAUAGUGACUGUUAGAACUGUGGUGGCUUUAGCUAUUUUUUCUUCCUGGUACAUCUUUCAAAUGGAUGUUCAUAAUGCAUUUUUACAAGGAGAUUUGGAUGAAGAUGUCUGCAUGACUAUUCCUGAGGGCUUUACUAGCCAGGAGGAGAAUCAGCAGCUUGUGUGCAAAUUAUACAAGUCUCUCUAUGGCCAGAAGCAAGCUCCCAGGCAGUGGAACCUCAGGUUGACACAGGCACUUCUUUACAUAGGAUUUGUUCAGUCUCAUUAUGAUUAUUCUCUAUUCACUCAAACCAAGGAUGGUGCACUUCUCGUUGUGUUAGUAUAUUUGGAUGAUUUACUUGUUACCGGAAGAAACUUAAGCCUUGUUCAAGACACAAGAAAAAAGUUACAAGAAAGGUUUAGAAUGAAGGACUUGGGGGAAUUGAAAUUCUUUCUGGGCAUAGAGUUCUCCGGGUCUGAAAAAGGUAUGUAUUAUGUCAAAGAAAAUAUGCUUUUGAAUUGAUAUCAGAAGCAGGGUUAACAGGAUGCAAACCUAGUGUAUACACCACUGGAGUUUAAUCACAAACUCACCUCAGUAGAAUAUGACAACUUUGUCAAGACUGAUCAAAUUUUUUAUGAUGUCCUACUUCGAGAUAAAGGAUACUACUAGAGAAUUGUGGGAAGGUUGUUGUAUUUGACCAUGACAAGGUCUGAUUUGGCCUUUGUGGUGCAAGUAUUAAGUCAGUAUAUACAUGCUCCAAAAAUGUCUCAUUUAAAGGAAGCUAUGAGAGUGAUCAAAUAUAUCAAGGGUACUAUAGGUCUAGGAUUGUUUAAGCCAGCUGAAGACAAGAAGGAAUUGAUUGCAUUUUGUGACUCUGAUUGGGCUUCUUGUGUGGAGACUAGGAAGUCAGUUACUGGCUAUGUGGUGAAACUUGGUGAUGUAUUGAUCUCUUGGAAAUCGAAGAAGCAACAAAAAGUAUCAAGAAGCUCAACUGAAGCUAAGUUCAGAAGCAUGGCCUCUACUAUUGCUAAAAUUACUUGGUUAACGGGUUUACUUAAGGAACUUGGAAUAAAAAUGAAGCUACCUAUCACAUUGUUUGUGAUAGUAAGGCUGCUAUACAGAUUGCAGCACACCCUAUAUUUCAUGAAAGAACAAAAUAUUUUGACAUAGAUUGUCAUUUUGUUAGAGAAAAAAUUCAAGAAGGAAUGAUUCAAACACAUCACAUUGGUACAAAGCAGCAGGUGGUAGAUGUUCUUACAAAAGCUUUGGGCAGACCUCAACAUGAAUAUCUUGUUAGCUAGCAUGAGAUGAAAAAUUUGUUUUCCUCGAUCAGCUUGAGGGAGAGUGUAGAAGAUAGUGGAGUGAGUAGUGAAGUUAGUAGCUGUAAAGUUAGUUAUGAGCCAGCUGUAUAUUAGCUGUAACUUAAUUUGUUAGUUAGCCAGUGGAGCAUGCAAAGAUUUGGUUAGCUUGUGUAUAUAUAGAGAUGUCUAGCACAUAACAGAAUGAACGAAAUUUUUCAAUUCUAUACAGAUUUCAUUUCCCGUCUUUUCUAACCCCUCUUGAACCUUCUUUCUCUUCUCCAUAGCUGAGGUUUCUUAACAGUAUUUUGUAUAUUAAAUUUAUAUAUAUUCAACGAUCUUAAUAGCUUUAAAAAGAAUUUAACCGCAACGGCCACUAAAUUCUUCUAACGGACUAUAAAUUUAGCAUUUUAAUAAAUAAAUGUAUUGUCAAGAAGUAACUGGUAAAGUUGUUGUUAUAUGAUUAGAAAGUCGGAUUCAAGUUGUGGAAAUGGCCUUUUGCAGAAAUGCAAGGUAAAACUGCAUAUAAUAAUCUUUUGUGGUCGAAGCUUUCUUCGAAUCUCACUCAUAACGAAAACUUUACUGCACCGUUAAUUGAUCGGAGGGAUAAAGAUUCUUAACCGUAUUUUAGACAUUCUCACACGUGCAAUUUUCAUUAAUUAGUUGUUUUGACUUUCAUUGCAUGCAGUUGAAUAUGCUAAGAAGUUUCCUAAGAUUUAUCAAAACUUCCAAAUGUGAAUCUACAGAACAUGUAUACGCAUGUGUUAUAUCGUACAUGUAUCUUCUUUUGAAAAUUCCAUGAAACCAACCAUCUCUAUUCUUUAAGUGUGCAUUGGAUAAAUCUUUUCAUAUAUAAUAGCUCGUAAAUCAUAUAAAAAAAAUUGAACCGUGCUAGAUAAGUCAGGUACGAUGAGCUCUACUAAGAAGGCAAUGGACGAGGUGGGAACGAGAUCCUCUCACGUCCAUUUGGAUACCACACCCGUUGCACCAACUCAAUCGACUGAGUCGAUGAGAAAUUAGGACCAUCUUACAUGUAUGAUUCCUAUUAAUUCAUGAUAUUUUAGACCCCAAUUUGACGUAUAAUUCUCGUGAUUCCUUGUUGUACAAUCUCGAGUACAACUCUUAAGAUAUUUCCAUUUUUGGUAAAUAGUACUUGUUCAAAUAUUACCAUAAGACAUGAUGUAAGGUCGUGAAUUUAUGAUUUAAAUUUUAUGAGUUCUUUCGGGAUUCAUUUAACUUACUAAAUUUGAAGUUACUUAUUUGUAUUUAUUCAUUCUUAAGUAGUAUUCCCUCUAUUCAAUUUAAAUGUCUUAGUUUCACCGGUAUGCAGUUUAAAAAAAUAAAGGAAUACUAUUAAAUCUUAAAUUAUAGUUCUAAACUUGUCAUAUGUAAGAUGUUGGAAUUGUAAAACUUAGUACUCCCUCCAUUCCUUCUUAUAAUUAAGCUUCCUUUUCUUUUUUUACAGUCAAAUAAUGAUACAAAAUUUAACCAGCAUUUUAAGAUGUAUUUUUUAACCAAAUUGAAAAAAAGGAAAGUUGCAAUUCAUAAUACUUUUCAUACAGUUUUUGAAUAUCUAAUUUUAAUUUUAAAAAUUACAUUAAUCUAAUCCAAUUUAACUUUGAAACUUAGUCAAAUUGAUUCACGAAAAAUGAAAAGAGCAUUUAAAAAGGAAUGAAGAGAGUACUAAAAAUAGAAUGUAAUGCUAUUUUUAGGACGACACAUUAAAAGAAAAGUAAGACACUUAAUUGAGAUGGCGUAAAUAGAACACGAUGCUCUUUUUAGGACGACACAUAUAGGGUUUCGGUAUGUGAAUCCAUAACUUACAAUCUACAUUCACCUAUAUAUAUAUAUAUAUAUAUAUAUUAUAUACAAAUUUUAAAAAAAAACAGUAGAAUGUGAAUUCUCUUUAGAAUUAAUGUAAUUUUGUUUUAAGCCUCGUGAUAAGUUUCAAAAUACUUGACUAGAAAAUUUCCAUUGAACUCAUGAGUAUCAAUACGAAAAAAAAAACGUAGUGGAAAACAAAUUCAGUCAAUAUAAAAGUACCCCUUGUACUUCAAAGUUAAAAUAUAAGAUAUUCCUAUUAAGAUCAACAACUAGCAUAAUUGAUCAGUAAAAAUUACAACACAUCCAAUUGAAUCUCACAAGUGAAGUAUAAAAAGAGUAAGUAAUUAGAAUGUGCGCAUGCAUGCAAAUCUUGUUAUCCUUAUCUUUGUGAAUAUAGACCAUUUCAGAUAGAGUUUCGACUCAUUAAAAAAGUAUCUAAGGCAGAAUGGCAAUAAAAAUUAAGAUAACUACAUAACAAGAUUAUUAUUAGUGAAAAGAUGAAAAAAACAUGAAAAAAAGAAAAAAAGAAGAAGAAGAAAAUACUUUUUAUUCAAACUGUUCUUUAAACAUGAAAACAAACAAAUUCAAACCUUAUUUUAAUUUCUUCACAAGUAUAUUACCUUUUUGGCUUUGAAACUUUGUCUAUAUUGUCAAAAAAGUUAAUUUUCAACAGUCAAUUCAACAUUCUAGUUACGGAGUAUAUAUGAAUUUAAACUUCACCUUACUUCUUCAUCACCUCUCUCUCUCUUUAUAUAUAUAUCAUGACUAAUAAAUGAAAUCAUUGCAUAAAAUAUCUCAACAAAAAUCUCUCUCCCAAUCAUCAUAUCAAGAAGCUAAUUCGUUCAAAACUUAGUUUAUUGCUUUUAUUAGAUUGAUUAGUUGAAAAAUUAGCCAAAAAAUGUCGAUUGAAGCAUUAGCCAUGAUUGGAGGUGAUUAUAUUAAAGAUGGAAUUAGCAUGGAAGAAUAUGAAGAACAUGAAGCACAAAUCCCUCCCCAUUUAUUAGUUGAUAAUCAAGAAGAAGAAGAUUCCUUCUCAAUGAAGAAAAAUAUUCAUCAAGAAAAUAUUCCUACAAAAGAAAAUUAUGAAUAUUAUUCGUUUUGUGAAAAAGAUGGAAGUGGAGCACAAGAAGACUUUAAUAAUUAGAAAAAAAUGUUUUUAGGGAAUUCUUGAAAAAGAAGAAUGUAGCAAAUUUUUUGAGAUUAGUAGGAAUAGUCAUUGUAUAAGGUUGUUGUAAGUUGUAACUGCUGUUUUUAGGGGGGGAAAUAAUAAUUCAUUAAUUUACUAUUUAUUUUUUCUAUUCAGUAUCCCUAAACAAUGGUCAAAGUUGCUACGAUACACUUUACAGAGGGCUUAUUUUCCUCUUACUCAAUUUUAGUGUAUUUUGAUCACAUUUUGUGCUGACGUGACAUCUUUAUUACAUAAAAUGAGGUCCACGUCAAAGGUGCCACAUCAAUAAAAAAAUUGGACAAAAGAUGCCGCAUCAACUAAAAAUGAUGACAAAAAUACGCUAAAAUUUAGUUUGAGAGGGUAAUAGAACCCCCGUAAAGUUGGAGUGUGUCAUAAUAAAUUUGUUCAUAAUUCAAGGGAUACUACAUUAUUUUUGACUCUUUGUAUCACAAUUCCAGCAUUAUUUGUUAUAUGUAAAUUACAACCACCUUAUUGUUAAUCAUUGUAUGAAAAAUUCAUGUAUAAUUAAUUAGUCCAUCAACCAAUUCAUGUUAGUUGAUGGGAUCCUUAACGAGAGGUUUUGGAUUCAGAUCUUAGAUACAUAAUUUUCACUGUAGAGAACAUUUUAUCCCUAAUAUAAUAUGAGACUUUCUAGAUUUUUAGUCAAAUACCAAUAAGAUUAUUGGAUAUCAAACGUAAGGAAACUAUACCUAUAAACAUAUCCAUAGCACCCUUUAUUGCAUGCAUGAUCUUGAAUAAUGAAAAAGAAAGAGUGACUUAAAUUAAACUAUAUCUAUUAUUAAUUUAAAAUUAUGUGACGUAAAAGGAUUAAGAUCAUGAAUUCAUAAGUUUUAAAUCUUGACUUCGAAUAAUUCUUGUACGUGCAAUUUUUCAUUCAAUACUAAUCUUUAGUUACUUAUACUUCUAAGUUCUAAUUAAUUUUUUUUUUCACUUUUAACUUUGAUUAAUCAAUACAAAUGUAUUAGAAUAUGCUGAGGAGUUUCCUAAGAGUUGCCAAAACUUCCAUAUUUGAAUAUGCAAAACAUGUGUAUUAUACAUUUGUGUUCAUUGUACUUAUAUAUCAUUCCUAUUAAUUCAACGUUUUUUCCAACCCUCAUAUAACCUAUGAUUCUCGUGAUUCCUGUCCUACAAUCUCGAGGACAAUACCUUCUAAGUCGAGUUCGUCACACCGAAUUUAGCUAAUACGAGAGUUGCAAGAUUAUUCAGUAUAUAUCCGAAGGAUAGCAAUUGCGGAUUUCACAGAAUUUCCAAAAAAAAAAAAUCUUGAUGAGACAAUUAUAGGAUACUUCCUUUUUUGGGUUGGGACUCAUUUAAAUAUGCUUAAAUAGCAUAAAUAUACACCUAAACUUAUCAUAUAUAAACAAAUCUUCACCCCUACAAAAUAAUUACGAUAAUUUCAACUAAUUAUGUAUCUUCAUUGGAUGUAUCGGGGAGCUAAUUAUGUAUCUCGACAUAUCCAAACUCGAAAAGUGUAUCUGGAGCUAAUUAUGUAAGAAAAGAACGUAUUAUGUAUCGCGAUAGACCCAAAAUCGAAAAAAAUAUAUCGGGAGCUAAUUAUGUAUCUUUACGAAGGAAAAAAUGAGUCUUCGUUGGAUGUAUCGGAAGCUAAUUAUGUAUCUCGACAGACCCAAAAUCGAGAUUUUCAGUAAUUGUGCAAAAUAUCAAAAUUUUCUGUAAUUAAGCUCAAACUAUUGAAAUUUAUGUUGUUUGCCCUUUAAAUAUUAAUCAACUCUCUCUACCGUAAGUAACUAUAUGAGCUCGACUAUCCAGAAUUUGAAAUUUAUGAACUAUUUCGAGAUUCAAUCACAACUUAUUUGAUUUAUGACUUUAUGUUGAUGUACAUUGUACAUGAGACUCUUGAAAAAAAAAAAUUAUAUAUGUGCCGUUGCCACAAGGAUAACUUUGUUAUAAAAUUUAUCAUCAAUCACAAGAAAUUUUAGAAUUCUUAUUAAAAACGUUUUUUCUUCUCAUCACACAUGAAUUACUACCUUUUUAGGUUUGAGAUUUUUCAAAAAAGAAAAUUGUCAAAAGGUUAAUUUUUCAAGAGUCAAAAUUCAACAUUAUAAUAAGUACUAUUACAACUUAUAUUAACCUAAGGUCCUUGAGAUGUAUCUAUUUGGACGAUUCACCCUACCAUAAUUGACAAUGACAGAUUUAGUAUCAUCAGAAUAUAAGAUUUCUCCUCUUGACAUUAAUUCGCAUCGUUACAUAUCAGAAUUAGUAAAUCCUUCGCUUUACGUCCCAAAAUUUGGAGGAUUCAAAAUUUUUAAUAGUAAACUUUAUAAUUUCAACUUCACUUAGAAUAAUAAUGAAGAUUGUAAAUACAUUUUAAAAAAAUAUCUAAAUAAUAAUAAAGAUAAAAAGUCAUCACAUUUUUACAAGAAAUAUUUUAAUUAGAACUUUGAACUAAACAACUCAAACUUUAUAUUAAUAAAUAAAGUUUUAACAACAACAUCCAAAUUAAUGCAUCGCAAACAAAUGACUAAUAUCUUAUUAGCAAAAAUCAAUCCUUACUUUUAUUAAUAAUCAUAUUAAUAAUGUGAAGUAAGGUUAAGUGUUAUCAAAAUAAUAAUAAGACAAUUCUAAAUUAUUAUAAUAGUAUUUUUGUAUGUAUAUUUAUAUCUGUAACACCUCUUAUUAAAAUUUGACUUUACACCAUUAAUUUUAUUGAGAUGUCCCUGAGGAAAGUAAAGCAAGAAUGAGAGAGGAGUGGGUCAUGGAGGAUUGUAGAAGAUUGAGAGCACGAAGAACUUCAGACAACAAAUUUAAUGGUUAUGCAUAAUAUGCUGUAUGAAAUUCUCUCGCAUGUUGCCAUGUUUCUUGAAUUGUAUUUUUUUUUUUAAUUAUUAGUACGUGCAAUGCCAAUCAGCAUUAUUUCUUGAAGAAGGAAUGUCAUGUUGUUGUUGUAUAGGAUUCUUGAAUAUCUUUUUUUUAAUGAUGCAGAAUUUGAUUGAUUAUUAAACAGAAAAUUUAAAUAUUCAAAAAUUACAGAUAAUUAUUGUGUUAAAAUUUGCACUAUAAAUAUCUUAUUAGUUUAAUUAUUGUAUUCUUGAAAAUAAUGGGAUGUAUUAGUUGAAUUAUUGUAUUCUUGAAAAUAAUGGGAUGUAUAUAAAGUGUGUUUGGUAUGAAGAAAAAAAUGUUUUGCACGAAAAAUAUUUUUCUAGAAAAUGUUUUUCUUAAAAAUAAGUUGGUUUUUUAUUCUUUUAUGAUUGAUUGGUGGAUUGAAAAUAUUUUUUGGAAAAUGUUUUUCGGUGUUUGGUUAGUGAAUGAAAAAAUAUUUUUCAGAAAAUACAUUUUAGUGUUUAGCUGAAGAGUAAAAUAUAUUUAAAAAAAUAAUUUUUGACCCUGAAAAAUACUUUUUUUAAGGGUGUGUUCGAUAUGAAGGAGGAAAAACGUUUUCUAGAAAUAUAAGUUGCUUCUUUCGUAUAUUUUUGUGUUCGUUAUACAAAUUGGAUAAAUAUAUUUUCUAAAAGUAUUUGUUUAUAUUUAACAACAACAAUGAGAAUGAAUAGGAUAAGAAGGGUGGGAUAAGAAAAAAUUUUGAGUUUUUUUUAAAUAAAAAAUGUAGAUUAAAAUUUUAUUUUAUUUUUUUGGGGUGGGUGGUGGGGAUUGAGGUUGUCAAAAUAGGUAAUAAGAGUGGGGUAAGAAAAACAAUUUAAUUUUUUUAAAUAAAUAUUUGUUGGGAGAGAAGGGGGGAGGGGGUUAGUAGGGGGUGGGGGUCGUGUGAUAUGGGCACGACCACGUACAUGGAUGAGUGCGAGAGUGAAUUGACCCAAGACUUGAAAUGUGCAAGUGAAGUGCAAAGGAGGGCCCAAUUACACACCAAAACUGUCCAUACAUAUUCUAAGGGCACCUUUGUUAUUCAUUCUUUAUUCAGGGGUCCUUUUUGUCAUUUUACAUUUUAUUUGUAACCUACUAUAUAUAGAACAUUUUAGGUCAUUUACUAGCUAGUUGUUUGAUGAUAUUUGUAAGUCUUGUAUGACUUUGACACACCAAGUCCUCUCCCUUUUGAGGCAAACCCGAAAUUAGGUUUCAACCAAGUGUGAAAUCAAUUGUAUUGUUUGAUCAUGGCUUGAAACAUUGGGUGCUUGAAGGAUUGAGGUUCCUCGUGUGUCUACCGAAGAGUGUAGGUGUUCAUAUACAUGUUGUAAGGGUCCUUAGAUUUGAUACAUCUUUGGGUUCUUAGUGUAUAUAAUAUUGUAUGUCACACUAUCUAUCCUUUCCUUUGUUAUAAUCGUGUAUCCAUUUGUAUUCUUGUUAAUGUAAGCCGUGUGUUGUUGUUCUUCAGGUUGUUAUUGUUCAUCUCAUCUUUAUAUUGUGUUGUUAAUCUUAGUUUGGGUGGCUGAUUUGGUGUCAAAUACACCUUUAUUAUUUCGUUUCUUGGUGUUAUUGUUGAAUCCGAGAAUAUAAUGGUCUCUAUUUGGUCCUCGGAUCCUUGUAGUUUGUAAACUGAUUUGAAGUGUCUUUUCGUAUCUUCCUUGUUUGUAUCGUAUCAUCGGGGUAGGGGAGUAAGAAUGGGGUACGAAAAAAAUUAGUUUUUUGGAAAGAGAGGGGGAGGGAGGAGGUUGGUAGAGGUGGGGUUGGAUAGUGGAGGGAAAGAAAAACGUUUGAAUUUUUUUAAAAAUAUAAAUAUUUUUUUAAGGAAGUAGAGGUUUGAGUUUUUGAUUAGGGGAUAAGGUAAGAAAAAUUUUUUGAAAUAGUAUUUUUGAAUGAGGAGUGGUUGGGGGUGGGGGUGGGGGUAGGGAGUGAGGGUGGGGUAAAGAAAAAUUAAAAUUUUUCAAAAAUAAAUUUGGGAAGCAGGGGUUUGAGUUUUGGGUAGGGGGAUGAGGUAAGAAAAAAAUUUGAAAUAUUUUUUUUGGAUGAGGGUGGGGAUAGGGGAUUGGGGGUCGAAGUAGGGAUGGAUAAUUUUAAGAGUCGUAUGAAUAUUUCAACUUAAGAGUAAAAUUUAAAGAGAGUUUUGGAAAGUAUUUUCCUUAUCUUUUGAAGGAAAGUUAUUUUCCUAAAAUUUGAGGAAAAUAAAUUGAUUUGAAAAAUAUUUUUCAAAACCUUUAAUUCAAUCAAACAUGAGAAGAUUGAAAACCAAACACAUCGAUAAUGUCAUGUUGUUGUUGUUCUAUAGGAUUCUUGAACAUAUCUCUCUAACCUCAAAAAAAUUACAAGGGCAAGUAAUCAUAAUUACGGAAAGCCUAAAAAGUCUACUAACUGUUCUACUUCAUCUAUACCCUUUUCUUUACACAAAAAAUAUAAAGUGGUAAUUAUGUAAUUUUCUUUAACUUUUUAUAUUGAGUUGGUAGUAUUCUCAAAAAAUCUGUUGUUUCUUUCCUUCCAAAUGGACCACCAAAUGCAUGAAGGGUUAUUCUCAACCAUUGUACCUAAGUCUUGCUCCCCUCUUUCCUCAUCCAACAGCUUGAAAGAUCUGCAGUAUGCUCUGGCAUCACCCAUGAUCCUUGUAUAAGGUUGAGGAACAUGUGACACACCUGGACAGUGACUCUACAAUAAAGGAAUAAAUGGUUGUUUGUUUCCUCCUUUUCAUUACAGAAAAAAAUACCUAGAGACAAUCUGAAAACUCCUCCGUUUCAGCUUCUCUUGAGUUAGAAAUGAUCUUCUACACACCAACCAUGUGAAACACUUCACCUUGGGUGGGAUAUUGCACUUCCAGACUUAUUUUCAAGGUUCGAAAAAGCUCCCAGAUUAUAUCAUAAGGUCUCUUUUGUAGAGUCUUUCUACAAAAAACAUCCUAUCCCUUUCAUGCCUCCAUCUUAUAGUAUCAAACUCAACCUUUAGGUCAGAGAAAUCAUUCAAUCUCUGUUGUAAUUCAGAAACUCUCUCCACCUCCCAGUCAUUCAGAAGCCUCCUAAAAGUGAUGUUCCACCCUUGAGGAGACCAAGUCUCAACAAUAGAUGCUCCCGAAUUACCACAAAAAAGAGAAAAGAUCUGGAAAGGCUUCCAUAAAAGAAUCUUGGCCAAUCCAUUUGUCUUUCCAGAAGAGAAUCAUAUUACCCUUUCCAUUUUUUUUUCUUUCUUCCCCACCCUGUCUCCCCUACCCCCAAAACUAUACACCCUCCAAUUUUUCUUUCUUUCUUCUUCUUUGUCAUCCCCCACCCCGUUUGCACCACCUUACUACACUAUUCUUUUUCUUCAGCCCCCACCCCCACCGUACCCAAAAGAAAAAAUAAAUCUAUCUUCCUUCUUCGAAAUUUACUUCUCCUUCGUUUGAGAUUUACUUUUUUUUUUUAUUUUUUUUACAAAUUAUUUUUUCAAUUCAAAAUUUUCAUGUUUUUUUAGGAUUAAAAUUUGAACUUGAAUUGAAAGUGAAUAUAGCGGAUAUUGAAAAAUAAUGAACUCCAUGGAUAAGCUUGAAAAAGCUUGAAGUUCAACUUUGAAGAACAAUGAAUGAGUUUUUGUGGAUUUGUCAAAGAUAUUCAAAAUUGAAAAUAAAAAAUUUAUUGUGUUUGUGCAUUUGAAUUAGUAGUUAAAAAUUUGACUUAAUUGCAGAGGAAAUUUCCACUACUUGAAAUAAAUUUGAUGCUCAAUUUGUGAACAAACAUCAAGAACACGAUUAUUAAAAUUUGUAGAAUUUGUUUAUUUAACUAAAUUUAUUUUAAUAUUUAAUUUCUUAUGUGGCAUUUAAAAAUGGCGUGAAAUUUAGCGCAACAUUUAAAAAUGACUUGAAAAUUGAUGUGGAGGCGGUUGUAUUACACACACCGAAAUAAGAUUUAAAAUGUUGAUUUAUAUUGAGUUGUGGGGUUCAGAUGACAAAAAACUAAUUAAAGAUGUUUACUUUACACACACGAAUAAGUACAAGGGUCCACUAGAUCAUUUCACCUCAUAAAAUUAACCAUUUCCUCUUAAUUAUUCUAAUCUUAUGCUAAAUUAGUAAUGUUAUUUCAUGUUCGAUGAUAAUAUAGUUCUAUAAAUAGUCCAAUAUCACAUAUCUUUCAUAUAUAAGGAAAAACACAAUUUAAUUAGUUGAAAAUUAAACAUGUUAAGUGCCGACAUGGUUUAGUUGUCAUUUGAUUCAAUGUCGCUAUAGGCUUUAGGGUCAUUAACAAAUAGUGCUAAAAUAUAAUUAUCACUAGUAAUUAUUUUUAAAAAGACAUGUUUAGCAGCAAUUAAGCUAAUCUCGUUAAUUAAUUGCCACAAAAUAUCAUUUGUUGUGUAGUGUAUAAUUAAUUUGAUUAUAUUUAAGUUCAAAAUUCAAUUUCAUUCGGCUGGCUAGUAUAUUUAAUAAAUUGAGCUACAAAUAAUGAGGUCACGUUUGCUAGCUCAAAAUGUCAUGUUAUACUACAAGUCCAAAUAAUUGACAUCUGUCAAAUGAUGUGGCAUGUAAUGUUGUAUAGUCUGAACAUGUGAAGAGAAAGUGUACGUACACAUGCGCCAGUAAGGCUUUGUGAGACGGCGGGUGUAGCAGGAAUUAGGAAAGGUAGAAGUAGACCAAAAAGUACUGGUAAAAGAUGAUUAAACAGGACAUAACACACAAUUUAAUUCAACUUACUGUGGAUCCAUGACGACCAGAGAUAUGAAGGUAUGGAGACGAUUAGGGAUUAGGGUAGAACAGUUAAUAGGUAGUUGAAUGUUGUCAUACUUUAUAUGGGAGCACGUGAUAGGGGACUCGCCUCCUCUUAUCCUUAUUAGUGGUAUUAUUUGGUAAUCGUGCAUAUAGACUUAUUUUUCAAUGCUAUUUGUAACAUGUUUUCUAUCGAAUGAGGUUCAAAUGAACCCCUUCGAUGCCACUCCCUAUUCUACAAAGGUAAGGACAAAAUCUAUGUAUAUUAUACCAUCUUUUAUAAUCUAUUUAAUUUGUGAAAUUACACUAGAUUUAUUGCCAUUAUUAUAUAUAUUUUGUUGCAAUUUUGAAGUCAUUGAGUAUGUAAUAGAUUGACGUUAAAAUCCAUUACGUAUUCAGUAUAGCGUGAAUGUUUUUAUUUUUUAGUAUUAAUGCAUUCAUAUUUAAUUUUACCUCGUGAGUUUCAGAAGAAAUAAUGAAUACUACCAUGACUAAAUAUUUGUUGAAUUAAAGUAUCAGUAGAAAAAAAAAACGAGGAAAAUAAAUUCAGUCAACACAAAAAUACUUGUAUAAAACACUAUUAAAAUAUUUCGAUAAUCAAUAAAUUAAACUUUAAUUAAUAUUUUAAGAUAUAUUUGAUAAAAAUGAUUUAGUCAAGUUGUAGAAACACCUCUAGCAGAAAUACAAAGUAAUGCAUACAAUAGAUUCUUGUGUUCGGCCUUGUUUUGAUCACGAACUUAGCAGAAGCUUUAAUGGGGACGAUUAGUGUAAUUGAUAAUUGUAUUGACUAGUGAAUGUAUGAAACAAUAUAACAUUACAAAAAUAAUAAUUUGAAAGAUAUUGUUUAUGCCAUUUGCCAACUUGGAUAUUUACUAUGAGAUCGAUAAUUAUGAAUUGCAACUAGGAUACUUAUCAUCACAUGAAUUACUACUUUUUUGUGGCUUUGGAACAUUCGAAAAAAAAAAUUGUCAAAAAGGAUAAUUUCAAUAGUCAAUUCAACAUUCUAAGUAUAUUAUUUCAAUUUUUCGCGCUCUAUUUUAAUUUAUGUGACAUUUUUAUCUUUUUAAUUAGCCUAAAAAAUUUCCUUGGCAGAAUACAUUGUCAGACCCCUCAACUUGACACCAUCUUUCACUUUGGCACCUUAAAUAAAUGUUGUUCACUUUUGGUACCUCAAGUAGUGUAUAAGUGUGUCAUUUUGGCACCUUUUGUUGAGUUGCCAAGGUGUGUGUAUUACACUUCCAUAAAGGUACGUUAAAGCCUUUUUUUGGGUGAUGUGGUGCCCAAAUUGGUCCACCAAUAAUAUAUUAACUCACCUUUAUUAAAUUGUACUUUUUUCUUUAUUUUUAUCCAUUAUUUUUGUCAAUCUUAAACUUAUUUAAUGGUGAAAAUUAUUGGGAGAGAUUUAAAUAUUACAUACACAUUUACGAGUUCGUUUUGCCAAAAAAUAAUAUAUUAAUUUACUCCAUUAAUUUAUACUUCUUCCACAUUUUCAUCUACUAUUUUUGUCGAUCUUUAAUUUAUUUAACGUAAAAAUCGUUGAGAGAAAUUUAUAUACGCAUUUAAGAAUUUGUGAAGAUUAGAUAAUAAACAUCAUUUUUUAAAUCAUUAAGGGCAAAAUUGAUGACGAAAAACUGAAAAUCAAGCAACAUUAAUGAAGACAAGCUGAAAAUAAAAAAAAAUUGAUGAAGAAAAAUCGAAAAAUAAAGCUAAAUCCAUGAAGAAAAAUUGAAAUCAAACAAAAUCAAUAAAAAAAAACUAAAAAUCGAUGAAGCAAAUCUGAAAAAUGAAGUUAAAUUCACAUAGAAAAUCUAAAAACCAGGAAAAUUCAGUGAAGAAAAAUUAAAAAUCGGAGCAAAAAUGAUGAAAAAAAUUAGAAAAUAAAGCAGGUUCUCUGUUCGACUUCCCUCGUCCAACUAAUUGUUCCCACAAUGCAAAACCAUAUGAUGCAUCAUUUUUAACUGAUUAAAAGGAUUAUUGAAGAUUCAAAGCUUCAUGUUGAGUUGUUUUAGCUUUUCAAACAUAUCACUCAUGAGCCAACUAAACAAGCAACUGGGUUACAUUUAAGAAUCCAAUAUUCAACAAAUAACAGAGAAACCAAAGACAUAUAUAAACAUAUAGAAAUUUGGUUAGCUUUAUCCAAUCUUAUACAGUAAAAUGGUUGUUAUUGUUGUUCAUAGUGAAGCUUAUUUGGUGGGUGGGAGGGGGGGAUACAGGAGGUGGAGAGGGGGUGCAGGGUCUUUGAAGAAGAUAAAGAGGGGAAGAUGACUGGCGAGGUAGGAUGGCGGGGUACGCGAUCACUUGUAUUUAUUCAUCGGGAAAUGCCCCGAAGUAUUUUGUAUUUGGAGGACGUCCGUGAUGAAGGCCCGAGGCAUCGGGUAGCAUGGGAGCGUAGUAUAAAAUUAGUGUAGGGUAGAAUAGGAUUUACAUUUUCACAUUCUUUUUCUAUUUUGGACUGUAUAAUUAGACUGGACAUUGUUUUUGGAUUUGUUUGCUUAAUUGAUCGUUUUAUUUAUGUUUGGUGUGGUUUAUACAUUCAUAGUGUCCAAAUUAGCCGAUAUACUCCACCAAGCGACCGUGGUCAAACCACGAGAUCGAGGGGUGCCUAAUACCUUCCCCUCGGUCAACAGAAUUCCUUAGCCGAAAUCUCUGUUCGCGGAUUAGUUUUAUAGAGUCAAAACCAUUUUGAAAAAGGAUAUCCAUGGGUGACUUGGCACACCUGAUUUAUGCCAAGUGGCGACUCUGAGUUUUGAAACUAAUGAAUCCUUUUUCGAAACAAUUUUCAUCUUUUGUCACUUUAAUAAUAAAACCCUUUCGAAAUCAUAAAAAAUUAAUUAUUUUUUAGGAUUGAAAAAAAAGGGGUGUGACAGCUCUGCCGACUCUGUUAGGGAUCGAACCCAGAAUCUCUGGUUUAUUUUGGAACGGCUUAGUUUGGCACUAUAUGUGUAUAGGCAUUUUGUUUGUGUUGUUUCGUGUUAUUGUAUUAUCACUGUUAAGUGCCUACGGGCUCUUUGUUUAUAGUUUUUAUCUCAUGUGUUACCGCUUUAUAUCUAGCAUCAUGUGCAUAACCCAUGUCAUUCUUUCUGCAACAAGUUUGUAGUACAUGUGUUGUACACGACCUCUAGUUGAGUCACCCUUAUUUUAGGAGGGGAGCCGUCGGUGUUAUGGAGUAGGUGGAAAGCAAAGCAGCCACUAUCGACGAUACGCUCCCCCGAACAACCUUGUUAGUGAACCCCAACAUAGGUCAGCCUUUAGGUCAUGCUUAUGUGCAUCAUAUUGAAGACCUAGCGGGUCCCACUUGGUCCUUUGUAGGAAACUCACCUCUAAAGCAUCCCUACGUGUUAAAUAUUGCAUCUUUGAGGGUAACGAGGUCAUUUGAUAGACUGAUUUGGGCAAAAGCAUGAAUUAGAAGCAAAAUGUGUAGGAAGGAAAUUGUUGAAAAAAGGAAGAGAAAAAGAGUGAAAAAAAAAAGAGAUUUGGUAGUUUUUAGGGUUCUUUAUGACUUUUGUUUUUCACAAUUCAAAAAUUCAAAAAAAAAAUAUUUUUUUUUACUUUUUGCACUCAUUUCCCCCAAAAAAUAAAAAACACUAAAAAAAUUUCCUUUUAUUUCUUUAGUAAGCAUUCACAAUUCUAAAAUUCCAAAAAAAAAAUAAAAUUUCCUUUCAAUAGGAGCUUUGUACAUUGUUAUAUAACGAAAAUAUCAAAAAGAUUUUUUUUCUUUCAUAGUUGUUAGUGUUAGUUUCUAAUUAAAAACCCAAAAAAGAUUUUGUUUUCAUCGUUUGUCUUUAGUUGUGUCUCUCAAUUCAGGGUUUAGUUUGUCAUUUAAUCCUUAAUUGUCCAAUCUGAACAAACUACGCACCCCUGGUUCUCCUCUCUCGGGAGUGAGAUACGUAGGCAACCUAUUGUUGGUUCGGGGAUCUUAUUUGAAAAAUUCUAAAAAAAAAAAGAAAGAGAUUUCACUCUUUAUUAGAGUAGGUGUUUCAUAUACAUCUUUAAAAGAAAACUACAAAAAAGAUUUUUCCUUUAAUAGGUUCAAGUUUCAUUUUUCAUAUGAAAUUCAAAAUUGAAAACCCAAAAAGAUUUUUCUUUGGUAAUCAUAGGUUUCAUUUUGUAUAGGGAGUUUAAACUUGAAAAAAAAAAUCGUCAAUUCUUUUGACAAUUUGUCUUUUCCUUUUCUUUUUAAAGUUUCAAGAAAAAGAAAAAAGAAAGGAAAAAAAUUAAUUGGUAAUUUUGGCAAGACUUCAUGAACUACGCACACCUGAUUCUCCUCUAUCGGGAGUGAGAUACGUAGGCGCCCCUCUUGGGUUCAGUGACCUUUUCAAAAAGGAAAAAAAGGUUUUCAAAAAAAAAGUGUUGAAUUCCAAUGCAUUUGCUAUCUCUUGUUCAGUUAGUUUAAGGUGGUUGGUUUGUGGCAUUUUGGUUGAUCCUUAUAUUGCACCAUGUCACAGAGAAAGUUAUGGCAAACAAAGAUAUCAAGUUUAUUUUCACUAAUCAGAUAGGGAGUUCGGAAAAUGAGAAUUUAUGAGAUAAUGAAGAGAUUCGGAAAUUAAGGAAACAAAUGAUAGAAAUGCAUCGAGCUUGGGCUAAUGGGUUGCUGCCUCCUCUAGUUCCACUGAUAAUCUGAAAUAUCUUUCUAGCUUGCCUCCCGUGUCACAUGCACAAUUUUCCAUUUUUGUUGAUAUGCCACAACAUGCAUCAUGAUCGACUCCGGGGCAACAAUAUCCAACCAUUUCCAAUGUUCAUGUUCUCANNNNNNNNNNNNNNNNNNNNNNNNNNNNNNNNNNNNNNNNNNNNNNNNNNNNNNNNNNNCCCACCUGAAGCUCCUACUUUUGAUGUUCAUCCACAAGUUGUGCCUCCCUACUCUACAAGAGAGCCUGUAUUGAAUAUUACUGGUGAUCAGCGUUACACUUUCGAGCCUACAUUCAAGUUGACUGGUCUUUCUGGUGACAGUCACCCGCCUGAGGUUCCUCCUAAUACUGAGAAGCCUUUUAUGACAGAAGAACAAGAGGAAAUGACCACAAAAUUGAGAAGUUUGGAAUUGGCUAUGAAGAACUUGCAAGGACUUGAGGGUUACAAAAGUAUCUCAUAUUAGGACUUAUGCAUUUUUCCAGGUGUCAACCUUCCUCCUGGCUUUAAAAUGCCAAAGUUUGAGAAAUAUGACGGACAUGGGGACCCAGUGGCACAUUUGAGACGCUAUUAUAACCAAUUAAGAGGUGAUGGAGGGAAGGAAGAACUACUCAUGGCUUAUUUCGGGAAAGUCUUUCAGGCCUAGCUUCGAAAUGGUUUGUUGACCUAGACAUCGACAAGUGGAUUAGUUGGGAUGACCUAGCUAAUGAAUUUGUGCAACAAUUUUAAUACAAUGUGGAGUUGAUCCCUGAUGAAAAAUCCCUCACUAGUAUGAAGAAGAAGAAUACUGAGAGCUUCAGGGAGUAUGCGAUCAGAUGGUGCGAACAAGCUGCUCAAAUGAAACCGCCAAUGAAAGAAAGCAAAAUAGUGGAGGUGUUUAUUCAUGCGCAGGAUGAAACAUAUUAUCAACACUUUUUACCUGCAUUGGGCAAGUCAUUUAUUGAGGUCCUUAAAAUAAGGGAGAUGAUAGAAGAGGGAAUUAAGAUGGGUCGCAUUAUGAGUUUUGCAACAUUGAAAGCGACUACUCAAGCAAUUCAAAAGGGUUCAGGAAGUGUUGGGGAGACAAAGAAUGAGGAAGAUGCAUCUGCUAUUGUAGUUGUACAGCGGGAACGGUCAAGAAGACCCCGUCGUAGUCACUCUCAAGCAAAAACCCAAGUUCAUGCCCAAGCUCCAUAUAAUCACUCCCAAAAUCCAUUAUACUUUGCUCUUUCUCCUCCAUAUCUAGUAUAUAACACACAGCCUCAUAUUCAACCCCCAUCUUACCCACGGUGGAAAACACCAACUCCUCAGAGUCAUCCUCUAGCUCCACAAACAUACCAAAAUCCUUCUAAGCCUGAUUUUUUAUCCAAGUCAAAUGAUGAAAUAAGGCAAAAGUCGAGAGAUAGCUUCAUAUAAAUUGGAGAGUUGUAUGCCAGUUUAUUUUAGAGAUUGGUAUAAUGGGGCAUGAUUACUCCUCUCCUUGGGUGCACUCUUAAUCAGCAUUCAAGAAACUUUGAUCCUAAUAUAGGAUGUGCGUAUCAUUCUGAUGCUCAGGGUCAUAGUAUUGAAUAUUAUCGAGAUUUGAAAAGAGAAAUUGAAAAGAUGAUUCAAGAUGGAUCAAUUAUGGUGCAGAAUGUUGACAGUGAGGGAAGUUCUAGUCAUGCUAAUAUGCAAAACAGUGGCUAAGUCGUCAGGCUGAGCAAUUGAGAAGUCACCCCUCUUUUUACUAGGAAGAGGUCUGAUAGUUUGUUUUGUCUUCUUUUCUGUUUUUUGAAUUAUUUCAGGGUUGUAGUUUGGGAUUUAUUUUCUUUUGUCCCUUUGUCGUUUAUGUUCAAUCCCUUCUAUCUUUUAUUUCAACUAAAUGAAUUAUCNNNNNNNNNNNNNNNNNNNNNNNNUAUACAGUUCAUUUUAUGUUGAUUCUAGUGAUAUGACAUGCUAGUGGAAUUUUCAGCCAGAUCUUAAAAUCCAACUUAACCAUGAAACAUUGAAUCAGAGGGCUAAAGUUAGGAAAAAAAUCUGAGAAAAUAGGUGGAGUGGUGAGACAUUUGUUGACAAGUUGAAGUCUUCUUCGAAAAUUAAGGCAAUUACUUUGAAAAUCACAAGAAUAACUUGGUCAUCAAUUGAAAGACAUGUCUCAAUUAGGUCAAUAGUGGCUGCAUGAACAGAAAGAAAAUCAACUCUACGAAAGCAUGAGUCAUUAAAUGGGAAGGAUGUACAACAAAUAUAGAGUUGUAUGUUUGACAAGUAUAGAAAAGAGGUGACACACAUGCUCGGGGCAAGUUAGUGUUGUAAAACAUGUCAUAAGUGAUGUUGAUCGUGCACUUUCACAUUGCAUGCUAGGUACUAGUAUUUUCAAGGAUUGAUAUGACGAAGGCAUUUUAUUCUGCUAUCCAAACAUUGUGUCAUCCUUUGUUUACCUCAUUUGAGCCUUAGUGUUAUUUUCUUUCAUAGCCCUCUUUUGGAAUCAAGAUAAAGCCAACAAAGCUAAAAAAAAAAGUAUCGAGCAAGAGAAUAGAGUCAGAAAACUUCAAAAAAAAAAAUGUGUCCAAGAAGGAAUAAAAGAGUUUCAAGGAAAUUAAAGUCAGAAAAAUCACAAAGAAAAAAAAAGUCAAAAGGAAAAAGAAUAAGUCAGAAUCAAGCAAAAAAAAGAACAAGCUGCCAGAACUACGCGUGACCUGAUUCUCCUUCUCGGGGGUGAUAUACGUAGGCUGCCAUACUCUGGGCUCGGUUCAAUCAAAUAAAUAAUUUAGAAUUGCCCAGUCAAAAGAAACUGGAGCAUGAGUUAAUCCUCAUUGUUUGAGUUGAUUCCAAAAGUUGUAAGUCCCACCCCACUUCAAUUGUCAUUUGGUCUCCAUGCCAUCCUUUCUUUCUAACCCUAUCCAAAAGCCAAGUUACAACCAAAGAAAGACCUUCAGAUCAAUCUUCCAGAAUGAUCAGGCUAAGCAUGCAAUUGUUAUGGAAAACACAUUUUGGGAACUACUUGUUUUCCUCAGCAUAAGAAAUCAGGAGAGAAAUGAAAAUGAGAGAGUCUUAUCGGUGAAAACUCUCAUAGUCACUAUAAGACGAUGGUGAGUUGAUAUAAAUAAAAAUGAGAGAGUCUUGUCGGUGAAAACCCUCACGGGCAUUGUAAGACGACUGUGAGUUGAGAAAAAUAAAAAUAUGAAUCUUAUUGGUAAAAAAACCCUCUCGGAUACUAUAAGGCAAUAGUCAGGUGAUAAAAGGAAAUGAGAGAGGAUUGUUGGCGAAAACCCUUCAAGGCGCCACUAGCCGAAUGAGGUCUCCAAAUGCAAUUGGCCCAAGAAAGCAAUUCACUUUCAGGGUCAUUAACUCAACAACAAUUUGUGAGAGUUUUGGAUGGAAAGAUCAGACAGUUUAAUCCAAUAUGUAUGUGAUAAUCAUUAGAGCUGACUGUCAUUUUCAGAUAAACUUUUCUUUCAUCUUUUUCAAUGGGGACAUUCAUUAUCAUUUAUUUCUUUUCUAUAGUUAUAUUUUUAUUUUCUUGAGUCAGUUAUCCAAAUAAAAUUACUGUCAUUUUUCUCUUGUUUUUGAGUCAAGUCUAUGUCAAAACAAGUGACAAAAGAUUUCAAAAAUGACUACCAGCUUUUUCAAUUGUACAAAGCAAGGCAGAAAAGCCAAUGCAUGAAAGAGACAUGAUUGUGAGCCAAAAUGAGGCAAGCAGAAAGUUUUGUCAACAAAUAAGUUUAGGAACUCAUGAAAUACCAAGGUUCCAAGGGGUCUAUCUGAGAAGUAUGACAAAGCAGAGAUGUUAUGUUUGUCUCAGUCACUCUUAAUAAUCUGAGUUUGGUCAAUGAAGCACAAGUCAAUGACAUGGGCUAAUGGUUGAAAUCAAGGUUAAAUGUGAUGACGGCAAGAGCGUUUACCACGAAAGCCAAAGCCACAAACCAGCCACCAUAUUUGUAAACUCACAACCUUUCUUCGCAUGAAAUAGGAAAACAUGUUGCCUUCAAAUCAAGAAUUUUAAAGCCUAAACAUCAAGGCCCUUAAUUUCUUACUUUUAAAAAUGCAGGAAGCAAUGUUGCUGCACAAGUUUGAUAAUUAAAUCGUGGUAAAAAUUCAUCAUCUUAUAUCCCUCGAAGACACACUUUCUUGUCCAGGGAUUUCAGUUCUCAUUUGUUGGAUGAUACACUUCUUAAAUUGACCCUCACUCCUAGAAGACGUACCUUUUAGUCAAGUCAUUCCCUUUGAUUCCUAUAAUACGUACAUUUUAGUCGAGUCAUCUUCUUUGAUUCCUAUAAGACGUACCUCUUAGUCGAGUCAUUCCCUUUGAUUCCUAUAAGACAUACUUUUUAGUCGAGUCAUUCCCGUUGACCCCUAAAAGACGUACCUUUUAGUCUAUUCAUUCCCUUUGAUUCCUAUAAGACGUACCUUUUAGUCGAGUCAUCUCCUUUGAUUCCUAUAAGACGUACCUUUUAGUCAAGUCAUUCCCUUUGAUUCGUAUAAGACGUACGUUUUAGUCGAGUCAUUCCCUUUGAUUCCUAUAAGACGUACCUUUUAGUCGAUUCAUUUCCUUUGAUUCCUAUAAGACGUAUCUUUUAGUCGAGUCAUUCCAUUUGACCCCUAGAAGAUGUACCUUUUAGUCGAGUCAUUCCCUUUGAUUCCUAUAAGACGUACCUUUUAGUCGAGCUAUCUCAUUUGAUUCCUAUAAUACUUACCUUUUAGUCGAUUCACUCCCUUUGAUUCCUAUAAGAUGUACCUUUUAGUCGAGUCAUCCCCUUUGACCCCUAGAAGACGUACCUUUUAGUCGUGUCAUUCUCUUUAAUUCCUAUAAGACGUACCUUUUAGUCGAGUCAUUCCCUUUGAUUCCUAUAAGACGUACCUUUUAGUCGAGUCAUUCCCUUUGAUUGCUAUAAGACUUACCUUUUAGUCGAGUCAUUCCCUUUGACCCCUAGAAGACGUACCUUUUAGUCGAGUCAUUCCCUUUGAUUCCUAUAAGACGUACCUUUUAGUUGAGUCAUCUCCUUUGAUUCCUAUAAGACGUACCUUUUAGUCUAGUCAUCUCUCUUGAUUCCUAUAAGACUUACCUUUUAGUCGAGUCAUUCUCCUUGACCCCUAGAAGACGUACCUUUUAGUCGAGUCAACCCCUUUGAUUCCUAUCAAACGCACCUUAUUGUCGAGUCAUUCUUCAUGAUUCCUAUAAUGAUGUGACUUUCGCAAAAGUCCUUUGAUGAUAAACUGGGGCAAAAUUUAAUUCUUGUGUUGGAACUUCACUUUCCUGAUAUAUGAAAUCUCUUUAUAAUAAUCUUUGUUUGGGAUAAUUUUCUUUCUAGUUUUGAUGUGAUUUCAGGAGCCCUUCCAAAGCACAGGGCGAAUAAAUGGAAAGUCAAGCAGUAAGGUGAAGAAAUUGAAAGUCAGGCAACAAGGUGAAGAAGUUGAAAGUCAAGUAACAAAGUGAAGAAAAUGAAAGUCAACAGAUCGAAAAUAGCAAGUCAGGAGCCUGCCUGGAGAAUAGGGUGAUGAAAUUGAAAACCAAGCAACAAGUUGAAGAAAUUUUAAGUCAGGAGCCCGCCUGAAGAAUAGGGUGAUGAAACUCAAGUCAAGAGUCCAACAGAAGCUGCGUGGAUAGGAUUUUAUAAUUUCAUUUAUGUUUUUAACUUGUAAUUUUUAUUUUUGAUGUAAUAACAGGGCCGCGGACCGAAACCUCGAUGAGACCUCACUCGACUCUCCAACUCGGCAUUGUCCAUCUCCUUCCAAUCCUUUGAGAUAACUGUCACUCGAUUCCCUCAUAACUUGGGUAGGUAGGAUGUCCUAAGUCAAGACCUAGUUUCCCUUCUUCCUUGUGCUUCGUGCUUUUAAAUAAAGGUCAGGACAAAAUUCUAUCUCGUUGUCACGUAAUUUUGUCAUUUCCCAAAAAUAUUUUAAUCAUUUUUUUAAUCUUUUUUUAUUCACCUGACCAUACUUUUGUUUAAUUGAUAAUUUCUCCCCCAAAAAAGAAUUGAAAAUAAUUAAAUACAUAUCAUCUUUGUCACCUCACUACGCCACCUCAACACCUCACUUUCCAUUUUUCAUUGGAUACAUGCAAAAGACACAUGCCCUACUCAUUUUUUCACACGUCACCCUCAUCUUUCCACAUGCCACACUAACUUUUCCACAUGCCACACACUUAUUCCCACAAGCCACCAAUUAUAUGCUUCCACAUAGGAUAAUAAAUAAAGAAAAAGAAAAACUAAAUAAAAAAUAUAAAAGGAAAAUUCUAAAAGGGGAAAAAGGAGGCUCAUUCUUUCAUCAUCAUCUUCUCCACAAUAACAAUAAUCACCAAAUCAUCUUCCUCAGAAGAAGAACAAAAAAAAUCAAAGGAGAGAAGAGAGAAUUGUGCGGGAGAGAAAACAAAAUUGAGAGAAAAAUAGUAUCGUAAAUAGUGUCGUGAACAGUGUUGUGAACAGUACCGUGAACAGUGUUGUGAAUAGUAUCGUGAACAGUGCAUGAACAGUGUCGGUUUUUGGGUUCGAUUGGAUUUACGGAGCUUCAGUUUUGGGUCUCAAAGUUUUCAAUAUGGAGUUGGAGUUCGUCAUUGUUGAAGUCCUAUUAGGAAUUCUAUAGUUCGGGCUUUCUUGAUUUUAUUAUCAACGAAAUCGAUUUUUCAAAGGUCCAUCUCUCAACUCUACUUUUUUAUUAUAUCGAAGUUGGUUAAUAUAGUGAUUUUGUGCUGCGGUUUUGAAUAUUUCGAGCAAAAUGUUAAUUAUUGUUGUGGAUAUGAAUGAUUGGUAUGCUUAAUUAUUUGAAUCUUCGUUGGGGUAUGUGUUGUUGGUUUCGAAUUUUGAAAAGUGAUUUGAUAGUCGAACUAGUUUAAUAAUGUGGUUAAAAAUGGAUUUGGGGGAUGAAAUUGAGAAAUUGAUAAAAAAGUUGAAUUUAGAUUAGCUUUGGUUUAUUGUUGUUUUGUUUAAUUCGUAACGAGCAUGAAUAUUGUUAGAAUAUGAUAAAUUAUGAUAUGUUGAAAUGGAUAGGCGAAUGUUGGUUCGGGUUGGUAAAAAUUUAGGAAUAAGUUUUCUUGUUGAAUGUUUGAAUGUGGAGUUUGAGUUGAACAGUUUUGUUUUAGUUCUUGCAUUUGGAAAUGUAUUCAUUUAAUCGGGGAAUGCCCCGCGAUCACUUGUAUUUAUUCUCCGAGGAAUGCCCCAAAGUAUUUUGUAUUUGGAGGACGUCCAUGAUGAAGACCCGAGGCAUUGGGUAGAAUGGGAGCACAGUAUAAAAUUAGUGUAGGGUAGAAUAGGAUUUACAUUUUCACAUUCUUUUUCUAUUUUGGACUGUAUAAUUGGACUUGACAUUGUUUUUGGAUUUGUUUGCUUAAUUGAUUGUUUUAUUUAUGUUUGGUGUGGUUUAUACAUUCAUAGUGUCCAAAUUAGCCGAUAUACUCCACCAAGUGACCGUGGUCGAACCACGGGAUCGAGGGAUCCCUAACACCUUCCUCUCGGUCAACAGAAUUUCUUAGCCGGAAUCUCUGUUUGCGGAUCAGUUUUAUAGAGUCAAAACUGUUUUGAAAAAAAAUAUCCACGGGUGACUUGGCACACCUGAUUUAUGCCAAGUGGCGACUCUGAGUUUUGAAACUAAUGAAUCCUUUUUUCAAAAUAAUUUUCAUCUUUUGUCACUUUAAUAUUAAAACCCUUUCGAAACCAUAAAAAAUUAAUUCUUUUUGGGAGUGAAAAAGGGGUGUGACACCAAUUACCCAGAUGAGCUCUGAGUCGUGUUAUAUUAGCAAAAAGGGGCAGAGGGGGAUAUGCCUGACCUCAAUACAACACACAACCAUAAGUGAUAUCAAUUGUAAGUGAUAUCACUCCACCAAAAGGCUUACAAAAUUAUUAUAUUGCCUUCUAGUACCUACACAAAUAUAUACUAGCUAAUAAAAAAGUUGGAUUUGUCAUAUUUACAUCUAAGACUAGGCAUCAUUCACUUAUCUAAUUGAAUGCAGCCUCUAGCAUGUAUAGGAAGAUGAGAAAGGGACUGAGUAAUAAGAUUCUGAGUAGAGGUGGAAGCCAAUUUGGCUAAAUAGUCAGCAACUUGAUUCCCCUCCCGGAAAUAGUGAUUUACUUGAAUCCCAAUUCUAUUCUUGAUAAUUUUGAUGUUAUCCAACACUUGUUUCAGCUUCAUAUUAGUGACAAGAUUAUUGUUUAGCAUGUUGGUUAUGAUCGUGGAGUCUUGUUCGAGGGUGAAAUUAGUGUAUCCUUGAUGUUUACACUAUUUCACUCCAAACUCGGCUUUCAAAGCCUCUGCCAUAUUACUGCUAUUACAACUGACAGAAAUGGAAAAUGCCAUGACCAUAUCGCCUCGACUAUUUCUUACAAUUCCACCAAUACCAGCCAUACCCCUUUCAUGUAAGUAACUACCGUCCGUAUUGAUUUUAAUAUAGUCAGCUUGAGGAAAACUCCAAGUAACCUGAUGUAACUUUUGAAAAGGCCAGAGCUUCUUUAUUGUGAGAGACAGAGUUGGCCAGUGAUUGAUGUCUUGCAAGUCUUUAAAAUAUUUCAGCAUUACAGAUUUGAUAAGACCAAAAUCUUGAUAAAUCAUCUUACUGUAACAGAAGUGUCUUUGGCCUCCAAACUUACAAGAACACCAUUGUUUCCAAAUUUCCCAACAAAUGAUACUAGGAGUGAUCUUCAAUAGAAUUUUAUGUAUAUCAUUCUCUGGUCUUAUACUCCACCAACUGUUAAAGAUGUCGACAAUUGGUUGAUUUACAUGUUGAAUUUCAAGGGGAUUUCCCAUGGUAUUCCAUAUGUGCUUUGUUGCGCUGCGUCCCCUUCUCCAAAAACAUGAUGCAUAGUAUCAUUUGUACAAUCCUACAACAAAAACAAUCACUUUGUGAGUUAAUAUUGAAUUUAAUGAUAACAUCAUUAAAAGAUAACCUCCUUUUAUAUAUCCUUCACGCCAGAAAAGAGAUUUUAAAAGGAACUCUAUUAUGCCAAAGAUUAUUUAGGAAAUUAUUUUUUGACCUUUGAUUCCUAACAAUAUGCCAGGCAGAAUCAUUAGUGAAAAUACCAUUCUCGGAGGGAUUCCAUAUGGGGUAGUCAAGUUCAUUAUUAUUUCCAAUUACAAUAUUAGAAAUCAAGUUCACAAUGUAAUUAGGAAUAACAGUACUUAACUUUUCAACGUUCCAGGUACCAUUUUAAAUAAAAGAGUUGAUAAGAAUUUUUGGAGACUUACCUGGGCUCUGGCACAGCUUGGCCAAGGCCCCUAAACCUGUCCAAUUGUCCCUCCAAAAGCUGGAAUUUCCUACUUGAAAUUUCUAUAUAAUGUGAAGUUCAGCUUGUGCUUUGAUCUUCAUUAGGUUUUUCCAAGUGUGAGAGUCAACUGAAGUAGGUUUUUUGCUCACCGGAUGUGAUCUCUUGCAAUACUUCUUCAUUAAAAAAUCUGCCCAAAGAGAUGGUUGAGUCCUGAACCUCCACCAUCUUUUUAGUAUCAAGGAAUUGGAGAUAUCAUGCAUGCUUCUUAUUCCAACACCUCCUUCAUCUUUCGGGAAACACAAAUUUUCCCACUUGCUGCAGUGAUACUUACUCUUACCAUCACUAGUUCCCUAAAUAAAAUUAGCAAAAUGCAUCUCGAUAAUACGGAUGGUACCCUUAGGUGGGUUGAGGGAAGAAAGAGUAUAAAUAGGUAUGGAUUGUAGAACAUGCUUAAUAAGGGUAAUUUUGCCUCCAUGAGAAACCAUGCUACUUUGCCACCCAUUUAGUCUCUUAACAAUUUUUGCAAGCAUACUAUCAAAAUAACUGAGAUUUUUCUUUUACUAUAUAUUGGACAACCCAAAUAAGUGAAAGGAAAUUUUUUAUCCAUAUAACCAGUCAUCCUUCGCAUUCUGUUAAUCCUUUGAGGAGCAGUAUUUCGAGCAGUAAUGAAAAAGCUCUUGUUAUUAUUCACUUUCUAACCAGAGGUUUUCUCGUACCUCCUGAUUUGAUACUUAAUAAGUUUGAUGGUCUUAUUGUCACCCCCAUUAAAAAUCACUAUAUCAUCAGCAUAAGCUAGAUGAUUAAUGAUACGACCAUUGUGAUUCAUGCUGAAAUGAGUAAAAUUCUCAUCGGAGCUGAGAUUGUUCAACAUUCUAGAUAAAAGCUCAGAGCCAAUGAUAAAGAGAGAAGGAGAGAGGGUAUCACCUUGUUUAAGGCCAUGGUUGGAGCUAAAAUAACCCCACUUUAGUUCCAUUAAUGAGAAUGGAAUACUAGACAUUGGCGAUAAUCCUCCAAAUCAUAUCAAGCAAAAUACCAGAGAAACCGAACCUCUUCAACACACUCAUUAAAAAAUUUCAUGACAUUUUAUCAUAUGCCUUGGCCAUAUCAAGCUUCAUUAUUAGAUUGCCGCCUUCGUUGUAUUGCUUAGUACUCUGAGCAAUCUCUUGAGUAAGUAAAACAUUAUCGGUGAUUGAUCUACUUUUAACAAAACAACUUUGAUUAUCAGAGAUUAUCCUACCCAACAAGGGAUUACGCCUAUUCGCAAGAAUUUUGGAAAUAAUUUUACAAGUGAAAUUACUCAAACUAAUAGGUCUAAGUUCAGAAAAAUUAGAAGGAGAAUCUAUUUUAAGAAUAAGAAUCAGAUAAGUAUGUGAAUAAAACUUAGACAAGUUCUUUCCCCUAAAGAAAUCUUGAACAUAGUUCUUAAUAUCGUCUUGAAUAAUAUCCCAGCAACUAUGAAAAAACAUACCAGAUCCAUCAGGCCCUGCUGCACUUGUUGCACUCAUACUGAAACCGCAACUUUAACUUCUUCCAAAUCAGGUACUGCAAUGAGUUUGUUGUUUUCAUCAUCUGUAAUACAAGGAUUAAUAGAAUUCAAAAUGUUGAAGUCAUUAAAAUAAUGAGGACUGUUGAAGAGUUUUUAAAAUGUUGGAUUGCAGCUUUAGCAAUCUUGUCACUUCCUUGGACCCAUUUGUUUUUGUGGUUUUUGAUUCUGUUAAGUUGGAGUCUUCUUCUCCUUUCUCUAAUAACGCUAUGGAAAUAUUUAGUGUUUGAGUCUCCCUCCUCAAACCAUCGUGUUUGAGCUUUCUUCUUCAAAAUGUUAUCUUGGAGGUUCAUCAAUCUAAUAUACUCAGCCUGUCGUUUAUUGAGUUCUUCCCUGCUCAGAUCACUGGUAUUUAGCAGAUCUGAUUCUUCCAGAUUCAACAUAAUGGAUUUAUUCACAUGGUCAAAAACAUUACCGUCUACAUUCCGAGACCAGUGGCUGAGUUUCUUGUUGAGGAUUUUUAGCUUUUGCUGUAGAAUCCACUGAGCAUUUCUAGCGAUAUGAACAUUCCAAGUAUCCUCAACAAGUUGCCUGAAAGAAGGUUGAUCAACCCAGAAGUUCAAAAACUUAAAGUAUUUAAUCCCACAUUGAGAACUAUCAUAGCACUUUACUAAGAGGGGUCUAUGAUCAGAUCCGACUCUAGGAAGGUGUCUGACAAUAUUAGUUUGAAAAAGGAUUGCCCACUCAUCAUUAAUGAAAACUCUAUCAAGCCUUUUCCAAAUUCUCUCUUUUGAAAUUGUAUUAUUACACCAAGUGAAUUUAGGACCUAUGAAUCCCAAAUUUGACACUUCACAAGCAUUCAUACAACUGCUAAAGUCGAAACUUUUAGCCAUUCUAUGUGGUUUUCCACCAAGUUUUUCGUCGGGAUCAAGUAUGACAUUAAAGUCCCCACCGAUACACCAAGGCCCCUGAAUAGAUUGGUCAACUCUUUCCAAAUCCUCCCAGAGAUCCUUCCUUUCCAAAGGGGCGCACUUAGUAUAUACAGUAGUGAUGAAAAUGUCCUUACAAGUGUUGGAGUUUUGCAACUUUAUUGUGCUCUGUUGAUCAGUAUUGCUAAAAAUAGAAGCGUUGUAAUUUCCAACCCAAAAAAGCCAGAUCUGGCCAUUUAAGUUGGAGAGACUAUGAUGAAAUCCGAAGUACUUCAUAUACUUUUCAAUGUUGUUCAUAUUCAAGAAUGGUUCCAGAAUGGCAACAAAAUCAACUUUGUGACAUUUGAUGAGAUUCUUGAGCCUGUGAUUGGCUUUUUUGGUCCCUACUCCUCUAAUGUUCCAAAAAAUUGCAUUAACCAUGGAAACUAGAUAGCAGUCUUUUUGUUAUCCUUUGCUCUGAUAGCAUUGGAGUUGUUUCCUUUCUUAUUGUCCUUAUUUCUUCUGUUAGUAACAGGAGAGAAGUCAAUUGUGUCUUCUUCUAUAAUUUGUUGUUGUUUUAGUUGUUCCUCAGGGACAACCACAGUAACUCUAUUAGGAGAUGUCAUCUCAAUCUGAAGGUUCGUCUCUUUCUUACUUUUGACGUUGGUUUCCUGCUUCUGAGCUAUAUCACAAUUGAGGUCAACAACCAAAUUCAAGCCUUGCAUAUUUUUAAUCGCUGAAGGAAUACUUUUGGUCUUCUCCAAUGUAUUAUCCACUUGAGUUUGUGUAACCAAAAUCUGACCGGUUUCAUCAUCUUCAAUGGGUGAUAUCUGCUCCUUUUCGCUACAGGAACUACAUCUUUUAUCUUUGCAGUUAUUGGUUGAUUCAUUGUCUUGUUGUGGAUUAUCUAGCUGGAUUAAGUCAUUCUGAUCCAUUUCUUCUCCGUUAAGGUCAUUUGGUCCAUGUUGUAUGUCAUCAUUUCGAUUCACGGGAUUAAUAGAAGUGGCCUUGUCAUUAUCAUUGUUUAUGCUUAUGGGAGCUAUUGGAUUAGCAACCAGCUGAUCCAGGGGCGGACCCACGUGUUAUUUUGGGGUGCUCCGACACCCACUGAACUCGACGUAGAAUAGGUAUUACUAUAUAAGAAACACUGAAAAAAUGAUAUAAAAAAUAAGAAAGCACCUACCGAACUAAAACUUGUUUGGGUGCUUUGGCUUUAGGUGCAUCUUUCAUGUCCAGGUGCUUGAGAUCAAUAUGUACUCAUGUACACUAGUUCACACACUUUUGUAUUACUUAUGUUUUUACUUCUCAAUUUAUUAAACUAAAAGUACUUUUUGUAUUUUUUAAUUACUCAAACAAAAAAUUUGAAAACCUUUUGGCCUUCUCCACCAAAAAUCUUACUCUUCCAAAACAUAAACACCAAAUUUUAAUGUUGCAUUUAAAUAGUUAUAUAUUUAUAUUAUGUCAUCAUUAGCAAAUUAUGUUAAAAAAAAAAAAAUUAAAGCCCAAGGCAGAGCCAGAAUUAUGUAAUGGGGUUCGAACACACAUCCGCGGCAGAAGAGAGACCUUUAAUGAAGGUCCAUCACCACUAGGCCAAGCAAUAAUAUUUGUCAAUGGGUUCACACUAUAUAAUCAUAUACAGAUAUUUAAAAUUUUAGUGUAAAUAUAGAGUUUACAUAAAAGCUACUGGAUUCGUCCGAACCCCUCGUAGGGUACUGUAGCUCCACCCCUAAUUAAAGCACCCACAACCUUAAAAUUCUGGGUCCGCCACUGAGCUGAUCUCUGUCUUUCGGAGCAGAUUCAGCAACAAUUUUCUUGUUCCUGCACUUACCAACUUGUUGAAUAAAGUUAGGCUUGAAAAUCACUUUGGAUUUUUUCUUGGGGAGCCUCUUCCUUUUGCCUUUUAUGUUCUUGUUGGUGGUCCUGCCUUGAUGUUGAUACUAGGGACUGGCUCAUGAAUAGCUUCAGCACACACUUGACUCUUCUUAGUAUCCUCACGCAAUUGCUUCAUUUUAUCCUCAACAUCUCCAACAUUAGUAGUGUUAGACCAAAAGAAUACUAAAACCGUACCUAUUAUUUUUUAAUGUAUUUUAUAUAUUAAGUUUAUAUAUAUUCAUUGAUAUCGAAUAACAAUUGUUACAAUUUAUUCGCUCUUAUAAUUAAGUUUUUUAAAAAGAAUUUAACUGCAAACCGCCACUAAAUUCUACUAACAGCCUCUAAAUUUAGCAUUUUAAUAUAUAAAUUCAUUGGCGGGAACAAAUGCAGAGCCAGAAUUUCAACUAAGGGGUUCAACAUUUUGAAGUAAAUCUAGUCGAAAGGGGGUUCAACACCUAUUAUAGAUACAUAAAAUAAUUUCAAUCAUAUAUAAAUUGUAUAUUUUUUCAUCAAAGGGGGUUCAUUGGCUCCGCCCCUGGACGGAAAGUCUUGGAGUAACUAGUAAAUUAAAGUUGUUAUGUGAUCAGGAGGUCGGAUUCUAGUCAUGGAAAUAGUCUUUUACAGAAAUGCAAGGUAAAACUGCAUAUAAUAGUCCUCUAUGGUCCGACCCUUCUCGGGAUCCUUCACAUAACAUAACGAAAAUCUUAGUGCAUCGAAUUGCCCUAAAAAAUAAAUCUAUUAUCAUAAUUGAUGGGAGGGAUAAAGAUUCUUUACAGAAUUUGUGACAUUCUCACACGUACAAUUUCCAUUAAAUAGUAAACCAAUUGCCCUUUUGAUUUUCAUUAGUCAUUACACAUGCAUGCGUACAGUUGAAUAUGCUAAGAAGUUUCCUAAGAUUUACCAAAACUUCCAAGAACAUGAAUCUGCAGAACAUGUGUACUGUAAUAUGUGUUCAUCGUAAAUGUAUCUUUUUUUUAAAAUUCCGUGAAACCAGCCGUUGUUAUUCUUUAAGUACGCACUUGGUAAAUCUGUUCAUAUAUAAUAGCUCGCAAAUCAAGUACGAUGAGCUCUACUGAGAAGGCAAUGGACGAGGUGGGGAUGAGAUCCUCUAACAUCCCUUUGGAUACCACACCCGUUGCACCAACUCAAUCAACUGAGCCGAUGAGAAAUUAGGACCAUCUUACAUGUAUCAUUCCUAUUAAUUCAUAAUAUUUUAUACCCCAAUUUGACGUAUAAUUCUCGUGAUUCCUUGUUGUACAAUCUCUAAGAUAUUUCCUUUAUUGGUAAAUAGGACUUGUUCAAAUAUUACCAUAAGGCGUGAUGUAAGUUUUUUUGGGGGGAUUCAUUUAACUUAUUGAAUUUGAAGUUUAUUUAUUUGUAUUUAUUCACUCUUAAAUAGUAUUCCCUCUAUUCGAUUUAAAUGUCUUAGUUUGACCGGUAUGGAUUUUAAAAAAUAAAGGGAUACUAUUGAAUCUUAAUUAUAGUUCUAAACUUGUCAUUCUUAAUUAUAGUUUUAAACUUGUGAUAUGUAAGAUGUUGGAAUUGUAAAACUUACUACUCCCUCCAUUCCUUUUUAUAUGCUUCCUUUUCUUUUUUAGAGUCAAAUGAUACAAAAUUUAAUCAGCAUUUUAAGAUGUAUUUCUCAACCAAAUUAAAAAAAAUAAAACGGAAAGUUGCAAUUUAUAAUACUUUUCAUAUAGUUUUUGAAUAUCUAAUUUUAAUUUUAAAAAAUUACAUUAAUCUAAUCCAAUUUAGCUCUAAAACUUAGUCAAAUUGAAUGCGAUGCAAUUUUUAGGAUGACACAUUAAAAGAAAGGUAAGACACAUUUCGAGAUUCAAUCACAACUUAUUUGAUUUAUGACUUUAUGUACAUUGUCCAUGAGACUCUUGAAAAAAAAAUUAUAUAUGUCCCGUUGCCACAAGGAUAACUUUAUUAUAAGAUUUAUAAUCAAUCACGAGAAAUUUUAGAAUUCUUAUUAAAAACGUUUCUCUUCUCAUAACACAUGAAUUACUACCUUUUUGGGUUUGAAAUUUUUCCAAAAGAGAAAAUUGUCAAAAGGUUAAUUUUUCAAGAGUCAAAAUUCAACAUUAUAAUAAGUACUAUUUCAACUUAUAUGAGCCUUUUUCAUCACCAAUAUAUAUGUCCUAUCUAAAAUUAAGUUCUUGCAUAAAUAACUUUACAAAUUCUUAUAUCUCUCUCCAAAGUUACUAAGUUAUUAUCGAGGAGCUAAUUCAGUCAAAACUCAGUUAACUACCUUUAUAUUCGAUGCCAUGAUUGGAGGUGAUUAUGUUAAAGAUGGAAUUAGCUUAGAAGAAUUUGACGAACAUGAGAACAAGUGCCUCCUAAUUUGUUACUUGAUGAUGAUCAAGAAGAUUAUGAUUGUGAUGAUGAAAAAUUCUUCUCAAGGAUGAAAAUAUUCAUCAAGAAAAUCUUUCCACAAGAAAAUUAUAUGAACAUUCUUUUUGUUCUCAAGAGUAUUUUCGAAAAUGUGAAAAUGACGAUGAAUUGUUGGCACCAGUCCUACAUUUUGUCUCUAUGGACCGAGGAGAAAAGGGGCCCGACGAAGGGAAGAAAAAGAAGCCUUUAAUUAAAGACCAGAUUAAUUUCAGGGAAUUAUUGAAAAAGAAGGAUAUAUCAAGUUUUCUUGAGAGUUGAGACUAGUAGGAAUAAUCAUUGUAUAAUGUCAUCGUAACCGUUUAGGAUUCAUAUAGCGGAUCUCAACUUAUUUAAAGUGAAGCAUAGUAGUGGAUGUUAUUUCGCAUGAAGCAUGAGAAUAUUUUGAAUGGUAUCCACUUUCAAAACUUAUUUUGAGGGUCAGACAUCAAUUUUUUUUUGAUUUAUUUUUUAGGAUUAGAAUUUGAAAAAGGUAAAAAGUGGACCAGAGUUGUAAGGCCAUGAGCUUCUUUAACAUUUUUAAAACUCGAAGAAAAAAUAUAACUUUUUAAAACAUACAGCAUGGUCCCCCUUUUAUAUUUAUUAAUUUUUUAAACAUUUAUUAAAAUCAUAUAAUAUGUUCAACUACAUUUCUCUCUCCUCAAAACCUUCCGUCUCCCGAUUUUAGUUCAUAUUUUUUGAAAAAAAAUUUGCACGAUUCUUGCUUUCUCGGGCGAAAUUUUUCAGUUUCUCUUGCUCAGGUAAGUCUAAUUUUCUUCCCCGAUCAUUUUUAAAUUCAUUUUAGUAAUUUUUUCGAUGACGUUUUGUGUUGGGGUUCUUUGAUUUUGAUAAAAAUUGCACUAUUUUUCGUUGAAUUAGUCAAAAUUUGAGUAUUUUUAGUUAACAUUGUCGAUUCCGCAUGUUUAACCGUGUUUUGCAUUAGAUAAUGAGUAGAAAAAUUUUAAAUUUUUGUACUUAUAUUGCGUAUUGAUUUUAAAUUUUUUGUACUGAAUUGGACCCAUUUAAUGGUGUUCUUAUUGUUGUGAAUUGCACUGUCAAUAUCUGGUGAAGUUGGAACUUGAUUUGCAUGUUUGAUGUGAGGCGUUUUUCCAUUUUUCUUAAUAGACCAGUGAUAGAUAGAUCAACCACUACAGAUUUAUUUUUGCUGUAUUUUUUCGUUUCUAUUAAUAGACCAGUGGCCGAUAAAUCGACCACUACAGAUUCAUUUUUUGCUGUAGAUCAUAAAUGGUGAGAAGAGUUCAUAGAGCAAUUAAAAGAAAUCAAAAGAAGAAGAAGGCAAAAACGAGAAGGCAAUUGACGAAAAAUUAGUGGUUGAACAGGAGGUUGAAAACAUUGAAGAAGAGAAGAAAUCAUCAAAUGAAGAAGAGAAGGAAAAUGAGAAGGAAGAAAUUGAAGAAGAGGAGAAAAAAAAUUAUGAAAAAGAAGUGGAUGUGAUGGGCAUUGUUGAGAAACUCAAUCAAGAAAACAAGUAGUUUGGUGGAUUUGGAACAAACGAUUUUCUUAAUGAUUUGUUGUUUUUAGUCAUUAAUUUUUUAUGGAUAAUUGAAUUACCUAUAUUUGGCAUGUCAAUGAUGAGAUUUACUUAUGAAAUUAUUUUCAGUUAUUUCAUUGUCUCAUUAGAUUAAACAGUUGACUGCAUUGCGUUACCAGUUCAGCUAUUGUCCUAAUUUAUAUUUGUUGAUUGAAAACAUUGUAGAAGUUGUUCUCUAUAAUUUAUAGACUUAACAGACUAUCAAUCGAGUAAAUCAUUUAUUUACAGUAACUAUCAUGGUUUAUAGAGGUCGAUGAUAAAAGACAUAGACAUAAUUCUCUAUUAAUUAUAGAUUACACCCACGAUUGAUUUAAGAAACCAUACAUCUAUUUAUUUAAUUUUCUAUAUCCCUAUUACACCUUUUCAUAAAGCCAACAACAAUAACAAAUCAUACAAUAAUUUUUUAGGCCUUUCUCUUUUUCCCCGGCCAGAAUCAACAUUUGCUUCAGUUGACCCCUCUCAAUUUCGACUUCUUUUAGUGAUCCUUUCAAGUAAUCCCUUUGCUCUUCGGCUUCUUUUAGCAAUUCCAUGAGUAGAUCUCUAUUUUCUUCAGAUUUUUGAAGUCUUUGUAGUAUAUGGAACUUGGAAGCGCCUCAAAAAUUUGAUGUCGAUGGGCUGCUCGUAGGUGAGUCUUCGUCAAGCCACUUAAAAAAAAAGCAACCACCAUUAUCCUUUCCAACCGUACAGUUAAAGAAUAUUCGACCUGGAUUCGAAUCGGUGCGUGAUGUCCUAAAAACAGCUGGAUUGCCACAACGACAUAUGUAGGACACUUUUGUAUUUGAUGUUUGGGAUGCUUGAGACAUUAUAGUUGUUAACAAAAAUUAAAGCCAAAAGAAUAAGAGUGUUAACACAAAAAUAGUCUUCCUUUUAUAGAAGAAAAAAGUGAGAUAUUACCAUUGAAUGCGAUUUGAUGUGUACUUUAUUACCGUCGUAAAAAUCUGAUAUUUAGAUUUUUGUUACUGCUGGACUAGUUUCAUAGACCUUAUUUAUAAUCGAUAUCUUCUCAUGCGUUUGGUAGAUGAUGCACCACAUAGAUAGACCGUCUAGCAUAAACUAAGAGCUAAUUCCUUAAUAACUGCACUAGGCGAUGAUACAUAUUCAUAGACCAUAACUAGCACAUAUUUUGAGAAGGAAUAUUUAAUUAAUAAAAUAAUAAAUAAUUAGAUUUUAUGCAAUUAAAAGAUCUUGAACAAGUCAUGUAAUCGUAUGAGAGUCCACGUAAAUUGGAUAAGGUGAUCAAAAAUGUGUGAGGAUGGGUACUAGAUGAACAACAAACAUGCUUGGGACAAUGUUUACCCAAAGUACAAGUAUGUUGUGGAGAAUUCAUUUGUUCGAUCAUAACUCAUCAUCUCACAUCUUUGAUCACCACUUUCAACGUGGACUCUCAUAUGAUCACAUGACUUGUUUAGGCUCAUUUAAUUGCAUAAUAUCCAAUUAUUUAUUAUUCUGUUAAUUAAUUAAUCCUUCUCAAAAUAUGUGCUAGUCAAGGUCUAUGAUUAAAUAUCAUAGUCUAGUUAUUUAAUUGUGGAAGUAGUUUACAGUCUAUGCUAGACUAUGUCAGGUCGAGUACAUAACUAAGCAUAGUCUAGCAUAUAUGAUGUACAACUUCAUUAAUAAAUGUACUAGACUAGGACACAUAUUUAUAGACCAUGACUAGCACAUAUUUUGAAAAGGAUUAUUUAAUUAAUAAAAUAAUAAGUAAUUGAAUUUUAUGCAAUAGAAUGAGCCUAAACAAG